UUUAUUUUUUAUAGACUGGUGCAUUAUAAUCAAAAGGUCAAAUAAACAAUAUAAAUAAAUCUUCUAUAUUCGGCCCCGACAUGUAAGCAUACAGACGUAGUGUUUUUGUUUUUUUUUUUUUUUUAGGGUAAACUGUUAAUUUAUUUUUUAAAUUAUCAUUUGAGUAAAAAUUAAGUCUUUAAAUUACUUUUUAUGUAAAAUAAAUUCUUAUAAAAACUGCUAAUUUCAUCUCUAAUAUUACAUUAAAAGCUAUUUUAUCCAAUUUUCAUCAACUUAAGUCACAUGACACAUUUAAGAGGGUAAUGCUGUCAUUUUUUUGCCUAGGCCUUAACGCUGUAUAUAGAUAGCGAGUUUGACUUCUAAUUUAUCAUCCAAAAUUAAUUUCAUACACUAUUUCUUCAAAAAAAAAAAUGACCUUAAACUAUGAAAAACUAUCAAUCUACCAUAUAAAUUGUAUCACAUGCAAAUCACAUGACUUAAAUUGACGAAAAAUUGAAUAGAAUAGCUUCGAAUCUAAUAUUAGAAAGUAAUUGGCAACCUUUAUUAGUUUAAGAACCGAUUUUUCAGAAAAAAAUAGUUUAGAGACCUAAUUUUCAUUCAAGUAAUAAUUUAGGGACUAAAAUCGGCAUCUUACCUUUUUUUUCUAAUUAUUAUUAUUAUUAUAGGAUGAAGGAGGGUUCAAAAUUAUUACAAUAAUUUGGAUAGAGAGUUUUGCACCUCUAACGCAUGGGUAUAAAACCACGUAUCGUAUCCAAUAGGAUAUUGGACUACAUGAAGCAUACAAAUAUGGUCUGAUCAUUUGUUUCGGUAUUAUGAAAGAUUGAAAGUUUGAACUUGAGCAUCUCAAAUGCAAGAUUAAUAUUUUUACACAUGUAUUCAUGUAUUGACAUCUACAAAAAUUACAUGUGUUAUGUUCUCUAUCUUGGACUUAAUUUUCGUAUUGAAACACAAAUUGAAGUACUAUUUUGGCUGGAAACUGGAUUAUGAGUUUAGCUAAGAUGUUUGGAGAUGUUUUCCCUUAUAUUUUGACGCAAAUGAGCACCAAGAACAAUUAUAAGUUAUUUUUUUCAUUUGCAAGUUUUUGUCUCGUCCGCACUUUUUUUAUCUCUUCCUCAUCUCUCUCACCGUUCUUCAUCUCUAUUAUCCUUCAUUGAUUCUCUCUCUAUUUAUAUAUAAAAAAGGAUAAUUUUCUAUAAAUAAAAACGGAAGCGUUUUCCAAACCAAUAAUUUUCUAUAUAUUUCUACUUUCGGUCAUCCAUUCCAUCUUAAGCUAUUAUAGCAUUGUCUCUUCUCUUGCCGUCCAUUCUGUUAUUAUCUUUCUCCUCUGCAUCACAUUUAGCUAAUAAAAAAAUUGAAGUCUUAGGUUUAAUCAAGUUAGUUAUCAUAUCGAUUUUAAAAUUUUUAUCUAAAAAUAAAUUCAAACCCUAAAAUGUCUAAGGUGAUAAACUAAUAAUUUCCACUUAGUUUUUGGGAUAAAAAUCAGUCGAAAUAACUAAGAAGUAUACGAGGGUUUGAAAUAUGCUGUGAUUACUAUGUUUCUGCAUGCUCUUAUAGCAGAAGGAGAAGAAACACAAACAAAAGCAGGUUCCAUUUUCAUGUUACGUAGAACUAAACGCUACGAGUAUUGAAGAUCUGAAUUCAUCAGACCAUAAUAAAAGCAAUAUUUAAAUCAAUCUAGACAUCAAAAGGGAUAUUUAAAUCAACCUAGACAUCAAAAGGGUUCUACUUCGAUCCUACGUAACAGUGAAGAUUUUUCCAACAAGAACCUUAGUAUUGUGAGCCUUUUUAUUAAUGGUCAUUACUAGUUGUCACCUAUCCUAUGUGCAAUUACUACGACCAUAAACAAAAAAGAGAAAUUCUUAAUUUUACUGCGCAUCUGCAUCUGCAACUGCAACAUCGAUCACUAUGAGCAAUUAAUUUCUUUUGACUGUGUUGAAUGUUGAUGACCUGCACACCUGGGUCGCCUACAGAAGCCAGUAGCAUAUAUGUAUAUAUAUUUGCUGUUUAAAAUUACAAUUGGCUCUGUAAUUUUAGCAAUUUUCUACUUUAGGUUUGUGAUUUGUUAGCGGAAAUUCUAUAAUAAUGCAGUUGUAUAUUGGAUCACUAGAUUUGCAUGGGUGGAUUUUGUUAGUUUUAAUCUUUUGCCGUAAAUCGUAUACACCAUUAUUUUGUAGAAAAAUUUAGUUACACAUUAGGUUUUAAUUGUAGUUUGAUAUGACUUCAUUUCGAAGUAUCGAAGCAAAUCAAUUUUGUUUUAUUUUUGCUGGCUUUAGGGUAUAUUUUCAAAAUUUCAACAUGUUUGAUGGACGUUACUUGUCAAUCUUUUUAAUUUAUAUGAAUGGUCAAAUGAUUCGUGAUAAAAAAAAAUUAAAAAAAAAAGAAUGGUUAAAUGAUUCAAAUCAAAUAUUUUUUUUUAGAGAUGUUGUUAAGAUGAAGAGAAUGCCCAUUUGGCAUAUGAUCUUUGUAUAAAUCAAAUAAUGUCAUGUGGUUGUAUAAAGAGCUAACUAAUAUACUAUAGUAAUUUGCAAGUAUGGAUUCUGUCCUCACUGUAAUUAUGGGUUUUAUAAUUUGCAAUUUCAUUAUAAAUGUAGAUCUUCAAACUCUAAUUAUCUUUUUAUGUACGUAAAAAUGAAUCUUUGAUAUCAUGACAACCAUCUCUUGGUUGGAGGAUUCUUUAGUUUCGACUCACACGAAUACGAUAGCAAUUAUUUAUAUUACGUUCGAUACUUAGAGAAAACUGCGAAUGAUCCAUUCGCACAACUUUGUUUCGGAUGAAUUACAUUAUUGUAAAUAUACUCUUGUAAGUAUCAUAUUGUUUGUCAAUCAAAUAACACUCUAAACAUCUUUUUCUGAUAAGGAUUUAUUUUUAUUUUUCCGGACAAUCUUUUAUUUACUUUGUAUGAAACCUAAUUAAGUUGCUUGGUUUCAUUCAAGCAUCAUAGACCAUGUAGGUACGUAAGCAUACCAUCAUCACCAUUAUUAAACUCAUAUCUAUAUUAUAAUGAUAUCAAAUUAAAUGAAUUUUAACAAAUAUCAAUUAUUAAUCUAAUAAAUUAAUUUGUCACCUCACACAAGGUACUUAGAAUUUCUUAACAAGCCAGUGAAAUAUUCCAGCUACCUAGCUACUUAAUUAAUUGGUUGAUGAUGAUGAUAGCAACUAAUCAUAUACAUUAGCAUUAUUGCUAACAAAUAUUCUCAUCUGAGCUGUUCAAAUCAUCCACAAAUCUAGGACAUGACUGAUGCAUGGCCUAGCUUCCAAGAACUAAGAAGAUUAACGAGAAGUCUAAUGAGCUAUUUAUAUACAGACAUUAAAAAAUUAAACCACGUACAGUUUCCAUCCUUCAUUUCCGAAAAAGUCUAUUCCUUCUCUAAUAUGAAUAAUAAUACUAAAAAAAAUAAGAAAAUGCAGGGUUGGUACCUACUAAUCUAAUUAGAUGUUUUAAAGGCUUAAAUCGUUUGAGGAAAAUUCACCGAACCCAUACUAAGGUUUAAUAGCCUUCUUCUUCAACUGUAAGUGGUGAGGAGGUUUAGUUUUGACUCUCAUAGAUGUCGGGAUCGAUAUCAAUUUAUUGGUUGACACAUUUUGUAACUUAGUUCAAAUCUUCAAACCCUUAACUCGUGUAACUGUUGUUUACACAAAUAUAAAGUAUUUAUAUAUAGUUUCUGCUAAGGAUCAUGCAUGCCUCAUUUUCUAGUUGUAUGUGCGCCCAUCCAUGAAGAAAUAGUCAUAGAGAGGACCGGUGUGGUGCUAGAUGAAUUUAUGCUUCGUGCAUCCCAUGUGUUCUACUUUAAUCUAUAUGUGGGGGCUUGGUAGUUGGUAGUACAAUAUAUAGGUUCCAGCUAACCUCUUAGAUUGAGAGAUGAUAAAUAAAGAAGAUGAAGAUAUAGCGCAAGAUUUUGUUGGUAAGUUGUUGCUUUUCUUUCUGUUAUUUCGAAAGUAGCUCUAUCAACUUCAAACAAACUAAUAUAAGCACUACCUAACCUUUGAAUAUUAUUUUAAUCACUAACUUAGUUUUGGAACAUAAUAUUAAUUGUUCUUUGUUCUUUAUGCAGAGACAAAUAAUCCCCAAGAUUAGGAAUAGCUUCUUCUUAUUUCUUUUUAUUUUUGUUAUUUAUUCUUCUUCAUUCUCCUCCUCUAAACCACAGUCAUAUGUGUUAUUUCUUCUUAUUCUCUCCUCAUGUAUUUUAUUUUUAACUCUUAUAAUCAACAUAUUACCUACCCAUAUGACAUAUUCUUUUUUUAUAAUCAACGUGUAUCCCAUAUUAAUUGUACUGCUUGUAGGUUUAUUAUGUUUUUGUACCUUUUAGUUAUGUUUCAUAUUUGACAACCCGUCCCUAGUUCUACGAUUUUAUAAAUUUUAAAAUAAUGAAUUUACGAAAAUGCCCUAGAGGUGAAUGUUUUGACUUUCAUUGACCAACGUGUAGAGAAACGUAUGACUUAUUCACUUAGCGCAUUUGUGUAGUACUCGUUGGUACGAACACAUAGGCGAAAGCCGUUUGCGAGUCCGGAUUAUAUUGAUAUAGUUACAGACAUUUGAAAUUGGUUAUUUAAAGUUUAGUUAUAAAUUAAUCCAAACUCCUACCAUGUGGGAGUGGUAGUAACCAAUCAAUUUUAAGAGCGGAAAAGGAGAACCAAUUAGGAAGGGAGGAGGAAAAAAUAAAAAAAAAAGAAGAAACCUUCCCGUCGAGCAGUACACCCGCACACCCAAACCGGUCAAAAUUCGGCCAAUUUCUGCCAUUUUAUUUCGUGGAACACCAUAUCCACCACCUGCAACAUCUUCCCCAAUCUUUCUUCUUCCAUCUUCGCUCAAGAUUGAAGAGUUUUAGGCCAAAAAACGCGAAGAACAUCAUCGGAGCAUCGAAGGUGUUCGACAGUGAUUCCUCCGAUCCAGCGAGUUUCACCACCACCACCACCCUUAAUCAACUCCUCUUGGACCCAGGAACAAGACCCAAGCAGUUGUAGGGGUGUUGGAACAUCGAGGAAGUCGAAUCGAAGAACACCCAUCUUAGGGUUUCUGGCGGGUUUGAGUGAAAUUGGAGCCUUUCCCGGCUAAAUUGGACUUAGCUACAGGUAUAAAACUUGUUCUACUCAUCGAGAUCUUCAUUUCUAUAAAAUUUGGUAAAUUUUAGAAAUAGUUAGAUUUUCCGUCGAGUCGGGGCGGCCGACCGCCACCCAUGGCGGCGAGUGGCCAGAGGGCCGUCGAUGUCAUUCUUAGGCUAAAUUAGAUGCCUUGAGUUCAUUCUUGGUAACUGUACGACUUAGGUUGAUGGUUGGAACCUAAAUUCUGUACGUCACGUUAUUUGGUAAAAGUGUGAAUUGAAGAUCUGACCAUUGGAUCGUCACCAAACUUUAAUAUAUUAUAGUACGUAAUAUUUGAGGACCAUAGAAACUUCCGAAUCAAGAAUUUGACGUACGGAUCUUCCCGAAUUGGAUUUGUAAGUUCAUAAAAUAAAAUGUUGACAGUCACUUGGUUUUGACAAUUGGCGGAGAUCCGACCGUUGGAUCAUAAUGAAAUAUUAGGACGUGGUUCUAGGAACAUAAUGUGAAUCUUUGGAAGUAACGGAUUGGAAAUCUGUGAUGCAGAUCUUCCAAAGUGAAUUACGUAGGGAUGGUUUGUUUCCUUUAAAUUAUGUAUUAUAUCGGAAAGAACUCUGAGACGUGAUUUGAUAAUUGUUCUAGGCGACAUUGGUUCGUGAUGUCUCGAUAUGCGUGCUAGGAAGUCGUAGUGCGGACCUCAGGUGAGUGGGUAUUUUCCUUUCUAUCGUGUAUAUUAUAUAUAUGAUUGAUAAUUCACAAACAUUUUAAAAUUGAUUUAUGCAUAUUACGUACCUACAUAUAAUUACUGUGAAUGCUUUGAAGUACUACUGUGAAAUACGAAUGGCUUGAUCCCUGUUUAGGGUACGUAAGCAGUCUAACAAGUGUUAGAUGCAGCCAUACAAUAAAUGAGACUAAAUAAUUGAGACAAUAGCCUUGUUUGGGAAAUUGAGCAAUGUGAAGGAGAUUGGUGGAAAAUGUGAGAUUUAACCUUAUGAUUUGGUGGUUAAAUGUUGUUCAUAAAUCAAUGUGUGAAGAAUUAAGAAAUUGAAGCAAGGAAACGUAAGUAAUGAUAGUUAAUUAAACUAGUGUCUAAUUGGGCUUAUCACCGAUAAUUAUUCCCGAAAAUAUAUAGUUCGGGAGUAGGGCGUUACAGCUUAUGCAUUUUAUGCCAUUAUAUAUAUAUAUAUAUAUAUAUAUAUAUAUGUAUAUAAUUGAAAAUGCAAUGACAUGGUUGAGUAUUAGAUUUGUAACAUUCCACAUCGCGCAGGGGAGUGAUCCUUAAAUGUAUAUUCCCAUCCCUACCUAGCACGAGGCCUUUUGGGAGCUCACUGGCUUCGGGUUCUGUCGGAACUCCGAAGUUAAGCGAGAAGGUGGCCAGAGCACUCCCAUGAUGGAUGACCCACUAGGAAGUUGCUCGUGAGUUCCUAGAAACAAAACCGUGAGGGUGUGGUCGGGGCCCAAAGCGGACAAUAUCGUGUUACUGUGGUAGAGUGGGCCCAGGAUGUGGUGGAACCCGGGCCGGGAUGUGACAAAUGGUAUCAGAGCCAAUCCCUGGCCGGAAGUGUGCCGAUGAGGACGUCGGGCCCCUAAGAGAGGUGGAUUGUAACAUCCCACAUCGCCCAGGGGAGUGAUCCUUAAAUGUAUAUUCUCAUCCCUACCUAGCACGAGGCCUUUUGGGAGCUCACUGGCUUCAGGUUCCGUCGGAACUCCGAAGUUAAGCGAAAAGGUGGCCAGAGCACUCUCAUGAUGGGUAACCUACUGGGAAGUUGCUUGUGAGUUCCCAGAAACAAAACCGUAAGGGCGUGGUCGGGGCCCAAAGCGGACAAUAUCAUGCUACGGUGGUGGAACGGGCCUGGGAUGUGGUGGAACCCGGGCCGAGAUGUGACAAGAUUGCAUCAUGAUAUAUCCAUAUGUAUAUUACUUGCACAUAAUUAUUGUGAACGCUUUGAAGUGCAAAGGUGAACGCCGAAGACCCAGGUAAGUUCAGGUGAGUUUAUGGUAUUAGUUGAAAUGAUGAAGUUAUUGCAUGACUACAUGUAUAUUUUAGGCAACUUCGACCUUGUCGUAUAUGUUGUAAUGAUAGGCAACUCCGACACUAUCGUACAGGUUUUCCAUGAGUCGUACAUGUUAUAAUAGAUGCAAUUAGAACUCAUAAACAUGCACCUCGGUGAGUUCCUAGAAACAAAACCGUAAGGGCGUGGUCGGGGCCCAAAGCGGACAAUAUCAUGCUACGGUGGUGGAACGGGCCUGGGAUGUGGUGGAACCCGGGCCGGGAUGUGACAAGAUUGCAUCAUGAUAUAUCCAUAUGUAUAUUACUUGCACAUAAUUAUUGUGAACGCUUUGAAGUGCAAAGGUGAACGCCGAAGACCCAGGUAAGUUCAGGUGAGUUUAUGGUAUUAGUUGAAAUGAUGAAGUUAUUGCAUGACUACAUGUAUAUUUUAGGCAACUUCGACCUUGUCGUAUAUGUUGUAAUGAUAGGCAACUCCGACACUAUCGUACAGGUUUUCCAUGAGUCGUACAUGUUAUAAUAGAUGCAAUUAGAACUCAUAAACAUGCACCUCGGUGUUAGUGCUCCCGCCCGUGGCCAGGGCACAGUCCUUCACGUGAUGUUCACCUCGCGCAUCUUACGCUCACCUUGGAUCCAAGGUAGGUGCACAAUGCUGUUGUAUAGACCACUAUAGGUGGUUUCGACUCGUAUGUGACCCACGAUUAUUCGCACAGUCUUCAUGUGAUCGUAGCACUUGAGCGUACUUAUUUACACCCAGUCCUGUCGUACAUACCACUAGAGGUGGUUCCGACUCUUGUGCAGGGAUAUAUGAUGAGCUAUGGGUUCAGCCGUACAAGCCACAAUAGGUUGAUUCGGCUGACAUAUUACUUGGAUAUUUGAUGAGCUAUGGGUACGGGCUAUGGGUUCAGCCGUACAUGCCACAAGAGGUGGAUCUGACUGACAUAUUACUUGGAUAUGUGAUGAGCUAUGAGUUUAGCCGUACAUGCCACAAAAGGUGGAUCCGACUGACAUAUUAUUUGGAUAUUGGUUGAGUUAUAGGUUCAGUCGUACAGGCCACAACAGGUGGAUCCAGCUGACAUAUUACUUUUCAUGGAUUUAUUUCACUUGGUUUACUUAUUUCAUUAUGUUGAGAUUUUGGGCAUGGCAUACGUGUGGAUUUUUCUAUUCCGAGUAUGGUUUAGAUAUAGAUAUGUAUUCUAUUUUCUGGGAAAUUAUUCAUGUUUUACGGCGAGGGAUUAUUACUUUUGAUAAGUGAAAUGGUUUUGUAAAACUUUGUUUUUACCCACUCACACUUUCUGUUUUGCGCCUCUCCAGGUUUUAAUUGUUGAAUGUUCGUAUCGACGAGGAUUCUUGGCAAAUCUCAGGAUAUGUGACUACUUCUGAGGGUAUAAUCCUUAUCCACUCUACUAUACUUACUUAUGCUCUAACGUCAUGUGUGAAGUGGGUUCAUUCCCGCUCACCAAGGCACUCUGGUAUUUAGGCACUCUUAGGUUCAAAUUUAUUCAUAUUUUUCCACAUCAUCACACUUUAUGGCUUUGUCACCUUCCAGGUGUCGGCCAGCAUAGCUCGAUUCGGAGUCUUUGUGGAUAUUAUUGGUCGGGGUGUGUCAGUUUGGUAUCAGAGCAUAAGUUGGGCAAUAUUGCGUUCAUCACACGCGUGAUGUGAGCAUUUUUUAUUCUUGAACCUAAUUUCCAAAUCUUGCCACCUCGUCGAAUACGAAAAAUGUGUUAGUUUUUCCUAAGUUUUGGGCAGUUUUGUCGACUUGUCGAUGUUUUAGAAGAUCAUUUUGGUGAACGCCUCUAAAUUAUAAGGGAAGAAUUUCCCUGCUAAGGAAGGAUGUAGAUUUGGGGAUAAGUUGAUGGCCUUGAAGCAAGACUACUAUAUUGAUAAUUGUGUAUCCUAGGGGGAGAAUUUCCUAUCAAUUCCACUACUAUCUAGUCAUUUCUUCCAAUCUUUUCGAGUUAUGAAACCAUUGAUAGUUUUGAUUCCUUGGCAGUACCCGUUAAUGUUUCACUUACCAGAAUCUUUACGAAGUUUUAGUUUUUGUCGAAAUUUUCAAAAAUGUCUCGAGUGACAAUGUAGGGCUAUAGGGGUAGCACUCGACGAAAGAACAUCUUGGGAUAAUCACCUUAGUCUCUGAUAACACAAAUUUUUCCAAACACGCAGGUGAUCAUUUUGGAUCUUCAAGGGGAAGAUCGACUUUUGUUUUAAGUCCGUUCUAAAGUAGAUGAAUAGAAAAUUUUAUUUUUCUGACUUUAGAACACUCCAACCAAUAUUAAAUUCCACAUUACUUUUGGUGCUAUACAUUUUGACGAGCAUUGGCACAUGAGUAAGAAUCGUUAUAUCUAAGGUUAGUAGAAAUUCCCGAAGUGGUAAGUUUUUUUUUUCCUUGGAAUUAUGGAAUCAAUUCCUAGUACAUUUGGAGGAGGUUUACCUUUGGCAUCAAUUCUCAAAUUUUUAUUUGGGAUUCUACCAAAUGCGAGAAGUAGAAUACACUAUUGAUCCACCUUGUUAACAUCACAUUUAUUCUCCCUAUUUCUUAUCAACCAACCUUUGUAACUCGAGUUUCCUUGUGUAGUUUGAUAAAUUCAUAAUAGUCUUGUAGAUGACUAUUUUACAUAUUCCAUUAACGAGAUUAAAUUCUCCAAUUAUCAACAGUUAGCUUCACAUAAAAUUCCUCAAAUAUUACCUUUGUGUAAAUUGGUACUUCUCUUAGGAGAUGUGAUUUUCAAUGAUAUUCUUUUCUUUUCUCCAAAGGUAGUAGCGGAAGAAAGUUGGAAUUCUCACAAGGUAUUGUGAAUUUCAAGAUGUCUUUGGUCUUGUUGAUUUUAUCGACAAAUUGUUAGCAAUUUCUCAGAUACCAACCAAGGAAGGUCAAUUUAAUUGAGAUGUUGAAUAUGAAUAAAGUUUCUAACAAAGAAUUGUUGUCUCACCUUACAUUUUCUUUACAUAUUUCGAUGAAAUUGAUCAUUUAGAAAUCCAUGAUGACGUGUUCUUUAGAUAUUUUAAUUGUGGGGGAGGUAACAUGACGAUGAAUCGUUUAGACUUUCCAACGGUUAAAAUCGUUCGAAAUGAACCAUCUUAUUCAUGACUAGAGUAAAGUGUUAUUAUCUUUAUUUGAAAAACCGAAUGAUACUUCCUGGUGGAGAAACAUGUUAGAGACCUUUAUCAAUCUUGGACUUUUCAAAUAUAUUCUCAUUUGAAAUAGGUUAAAUUCUGACAGCAGUAGUGGAAGAACUAAAUCAACUUUUAUGAUUAUCACGAUUGUGCAAAUGUAUUACUAUUUAAUGCAGCAAAAGGUUUAUGUAUACUUGAACACUUUCGGCCUAUCCUAUUCCGCCUCAGUUGGAAUACACAAGUAUUGUUUUGACGUUACUUGCGAAACAUCAAGAAAGGGUUUGAAUGGUCAUAAUCACUUCUUGUAUAUGGAGUUGAGAAAUAUCAUCAUACACCUUUGGAACGAGGUAUCUUGUACAUGUAGUGAUGAUGAUGAUGAUGUUUCGAUGUUUAUAGAUCGACUUGACAAGUCAACCCUUUUUUUUUCAUUGGUCCAAAGGGACUACAUUGUUGACCACUUGGUAUUAUUUUUGAAUUAAGCAAAUUGUCUAGAGGAUUGUUAGGACAUUGACAUUUAGUCGUGAACAUUAAAUUCUCAAUCACCCAACAAACACUAUACUAAACGAAUCUUAACCGUUGGUGAUUGAAUGUUCUAGAAGCUACCGUUGUAGCGAUAUGUUAUACAUUAAUUUCAAUUACCUUGUAUUUAAAAUUUGAUGGACUUAUUUGACCCUCAAAUUCUCGAGUAUUAUGUUAGCCUUCUUGACAUAAUUUUCACUAAAUUCAAGAGAAAUUCAAUAGGAAUCUCCUCAUUAUGGUGUUAUGAAUUGCAUUAUUGAGUUAUGUGGUGUGUAUGUUGUAAUAAAUAGUUUUUUUUUUUUUAGUUGGUUGUAACUACGAUUACAAUUUUUGGUUUCGAGUAUGGCAUUAUUAAGGCGUACUGUGAAAAUUUUAUCUAUAGCACAUGACCGAAAAUUUUAUCCAUAGUUGAAUUGUCACAGCCCGUCCCGGAAUUUCAAUUUCCGACGACGUGAAAUUACAGAAACGCCCUUAAACGGGAUUAAGGUGCGUAAAUUUGGUAUUUGUUUUACACUAAGAUCCUAAACUAGGGAUUAGAAUUGUUAUUAGUAUGUGUUAAAUUAUCUGUGUUGGACUUUAGGUGGGACCCUACCCCCUAAAUCAUUCCCUCAAUUCUGGAUCCAUGUCUCCUUCUCUCUCUCUUCCUCAUCUUUCCCUCAGUCAUUCUCACACUCCCUCAUUCUCUCUCAAACUCUCGGACAAACACCCAAGACCUUGAAAACUUCACAAGUUAAGGUUGAGGAAGGUAGCAUCGUGUUUGUGAGGACCAUACGAACACAUUGGUAUUGUUUUCAGGUAAGAUUUCCCACGAUUUCACGUAGAAAACUCAAGCCCGUGAAAUGACACUAUUCAUGAACUUUGUGUUUGUUGAUUUUUAGGCCAAACUAAGAUCAUAGGGAGCUCUAGGAGGUUCCCACGAAGCUCGGGGUGUGAAGUUUGGAAAGUUUGGACGUCGAAGUGACCCAGUUCGACGUUUGGCCGAAUUUGGAAGAUUUUGGAAGGUAUGAUCUAGUAGUUUUUAGGCCCUAAAACCCUUCCAACGUGAUAGUACUUGUUAAAUGCUUCAUUUUUGUAUAAAAUGUGAAGAAAUUGGUUGAAAAACGAAGGAGAAUAGUGGAUUUGAAAAUUUUCCAGAAACCGGCGAACAGUCGCCGGCGACCGGUGACUCGCCGGAGGACAGGGAAUCUUCCGUUAAGUUUGACGGAAUAUUCCGACGCCGUUAGUUAACUUUAACGGAAACCGUUAGUUUUUAACGGAAUAUGCUAGGAUUUGACGGAAUAUUCCCUAACGCCGUUCACUGUAGCCGUCAGUGUGCAUGUCACGUGGCCGCGCGUGGGCCGCGCGUAGGUCCGUGCCACGUCAGGCGCGUGGGGGCGCGUGAGGACUCCAAAAAUUAUUUUAAAAAUUUGGGGAUGAUCCUGAGGUUGUGUAGGUCACUGUGGUAUAUUCAUAUACCCAAUUUGAGCAUCGUAUGAAGAAUUAAUUACCUAGUUUGGUUUAGGUGCGUUAAAUGUGCGUUAAAUGAUUGUUUUAAGUUAUUUCACUUCUAGGUGGAACUUUUAACGAGGACGAGCACAUCCAGGGGCGUCAAGGGGGUUACGACCCGGCGACAUACCAGUGAGUGGGCAUUUGUUUUUAUAUAUACCUAUAUACUCGAUUUCCCCAGAAAUCAAAUUUAAAUGAAAAGUAUAUUAAAAUGAAAUAUGAUGUGAUUGCCAUGCAUAGAUAUUAUGGAUAUUAUGAACUGUCGUAUGAUGCAUAUAUGUAAGGUGGUGCUGUGGACGCACAGGUAAGUAUUUAAUUACUGUUAUGUUGAUGAUAUAUUGAGCUCAUAUCCUGCACCAUGGUUUAGUGCUUAUAGUAUUCACCGCAUCGCACGCUCGCCUUGGAUCCAAGUAGAUGCUGGUCGUACAGUCCACGCGGAGUGGGUACGACGGGCCAGUCGUAGAGUGUUAGUGAGAUUAUGACUGGUGGGUGACCUUAGGUUAUUGUAUACAGAUGAUUGAUGAGAGAGAAGCACUAGAGCGAAUAUUACCAUGAGUCGUUCAGACUACAUUAGGUGGUUCCGACUUAUGUGCAGAAGGCCGGACAGGUCACGCGGAGUGACUCCGGCAGAGUGAGAUUGAUAGAUGUUGAGCUCUAGGUUCAAUCGUUCAGGGCUAUUAGAGGGCCUCCGAUUGAUUAUUUCUUUUACCUGAUUAUAUUAUGUUAAUGCAUUCAUACUACACUGUUGAAAUUGGCAUGGUACAUUCUUUAUUGAAUCUGUUAUAAGAUUGAUGAUUGAGACAGUUGAGAUAUAUAUGCUAUAUACUAUUUUUCUGGGAAAGUAUACAGGUUUUCCAAAAAGGGGUUAUAAUCGUGGAUUUAUGAAAUGAUUUGGAAAAGCUUAUUUUCGCCCACUCACGUUUUCUGUUUUUCGCCCCUCCAGGUUCUAGUUGAUAGUUGAGGCGUUGGUGGCCUACGAGGACUGCUUCGGCGUUCUGACAGACUAAAUAAAUGUAGGAUUCACCCGAGGGUGUUGUAAAUAGUUAUGGUCCUACUUGACUGCACCUAGACGCUUAUGCUCUGUUUAUGUGUGUUUAGUACACUCUUAUGCACAUAGAAUGCUAGGUUGUAAAUAACUGCAAUUAGUGGUUUUCGUUGACUCGUAUUUUAUUAUUAAAUCGUUUCCGCUUGCGUUAUGGUUACGUCACACUCACGUGACGGCCAGCACGUCCUAGUCUUCGGGUUAGGGUGUGUCAGUUUGGUAUCAGAGCAUAGGUUGUAGUCCUGUAUAACUAAUGAGUUCUUCUAUUGAUUUUUGGAUGUUUUCUGUCAGACUUAUGCCGCCUCGUAGAGAUCCUCGCCGUGCUGCUGAGCCUAAUUUCCCCGAUAUAACUCAGUUAGGGGCAGCAAUGGCUCAAGCUUUUCAGGCUAAUAUCCGUCCUCCUCAGAGAACGCCCGUAGAGACGAUGUAUAAUCUGAAAUUGGAAACUUUUGAGGGAAAUGAAGGUUAUGAAGGGGCAGAAAAGUGGUUGGAUCGAAUUGAACAGACCUUUCAAGUGAUGCAAAGUCAGGGAAACCUGCCAGCUAAUAGAUGGGUGGAGACCACCACCUGGUUUUUGGGCCGUGAGCCAGCUGCGUGGUGGAUAAAUCAGUCGAGGCACAUGGCACCUGAAAGGGCAGCCGAAUGGGAGGUAUUUAAGGAAAAUUUUAUGAAGAGAUUUGUUCCUCCGGAAUAUAUAGAUCGCAAGAAACAGGAAUUCACCAGUCUGAAGCAGAGAAAUAUGUCUGCACAUGAGUACUACAGGAAGUUUACUGAUUUAUCCCGUUAUGAUUCUGAUUUAGCGGGUAAUCAAGCAGAAAUGCUUCGUCGUUUCAAGCUAGGAUCUAAGAAGAAGUACAGAACGUUUGCCAAUGCACUUCCCUGUGCCGAUUAUCAUGAGUAUUUUGAGAUUCUGGUCAGGAUGGAAGACUCUGAUAAUCUUCCAGACAGUGAGGAUGAAGAGGAUAAGGGUAAUGGUCAGAAGAAAAAUGAGAAAGGUAAAGGUGUUUCCAUUCCAGGACCUCGUCAGACGCAGAAUUUCAAGAAAAGUGGAAUGAGUUCGAGUUCUUCCAGUGGUGGAUUUAGUGCCACAGGUCCGAGGAGAGGAGGUGGUAGGUUUGGUAAUGGACCUAGAUUUUCUAGUCAGAGAGGCUUUGGUGGUACUGGUAGUUCGGGUCCUCCGUUAUGUCGCCGUUGUAAUUUCCGACAUCAUGGGGAAUGUAGGAGAAGCAGUGGUGCAUGCUUUACAUGUGGUCAGACAGGACAUAGAGCUAUGUAUUGUCCCCAGAAUCAGCAGAGGCCCCAGCAGCCUGUUAUGCCAACCUCAGCACCGACUCAACAGAACUUUAAUUCAGGCAGUUAUGGCCAGGGUGGUCGUGGUGGUGCUUAUCACUAUCAGGGUGAUGCUGCUCCUUAUGCUCCGGGACAGUAUCACUAUUCUCAGGAUCCUUAUUUUCAGAGUGGAUAUUCUCAGGAUCAGGGAGGUUAUACUUCAUAUCCGUCUAUGCCAGCUAGCGGAUCUCAGUGGUAUCAGGGGGGUCAGCCCCAACAGAGCGGAGUUGCUGCUAGUAGUACAGGGUCGUUUAGGCCGCCUGUCCAGACAGGUCAAGGACGUACUCAUCAGGGACGAGGUAACCAGAGUGGCAGAGGUCGUGGAGGACGACAGCCAGCUCAGGGACGUGUUAACCACAUCUCGCUGCAAGAUGCUCAGAACCAUCCAGACUUGAUUAUGGGUACGUUGAAUGUUCUUGGUCAUUUUGCUAGAGUCUUGAUUGAUUGUGGUGCUACACACUCUGUGAUUUCUCAUACAUUUGCUCAAAUAACGCAACCUCAUCCUUCACCUCUAGGGUUUGAUUUAGAGUUUGCUAUGCCUAGAGGGGAUAAAUGUUUAUGUUGAUAGUUUUUACUCUGGGUGUCCAGUGAUGGUAGAUAAUGUCAUUAUGCCUGCUAAUCUCUUAUCCCGUUAGACAUCGUGGAUUUUGAUGUGAUUUUAGGGGCGGAUUGGUUGCAUUAUAAUCGCGCCCAUAUAGAUUGUUACGGGAAAUCAGUUACUUUUCUUCGUCCUGGACUACCCGAGGUUACAUUUGUGGGUGAAAGAAGUGGGGUGAGGCAUGGUGUUAUUUCCGCCAUAAGGACAAAGAAAUUGUUAUCCAAGGGUUGUCAGGGAUACUUGGCACAUGUGGUGUUAAAUGAUGUUGAUUCCGGUAGUGUGGAGGAAGUCGGAGUAGUCAGACACUAUCCUGAUGUAUUUCCAGAUGAUUUACCUGGGUUGCCUCCAGAUAGAGAUGUGGAAUUUUCGAUUGAUUUGCUUCCAGGUACGAACCCUAUCUCUUUGACUCCUUAUAGAAUGGCACCAGCGGAAUUAAGAGAGUUGAAAAUUCAAUUGCAAGAGUUAAUUGAUAAAGGUUUCAUUCAGCCUAGUUCUUCACCUUGGGGAGCUCCAGUGUUGUUUGUAAGAAAGAAAGAUGGAACUUUGAGAUUGUGCAUUGAUUACAGGCAAUUGAAUCGGGUGACGAUUAUUAAAAACCGUUAUCCCUUGCCUCGUAUAGAUGAUUUGUUUGAUCAGCUCAAAGGUGCCUGUGUGUUUUCUAAGAUCGAUUUGAGGUCUGGGUAUGGGUAUUAUCAAUUAAAGAUUAAAGAUGAGGAUGUUCAUAAAACAGCUUUCAGGACUCGUUAUGGGCAUUAUGAGUUUUUGGUGAUGCCAUUUGGAUUAACGAACGCUCCUGCAGCUUUCAUGAGAUUGAUGAAUGAAGUAUUCCAGGAAUAUCUUGACAAGUUUGUUAUUGUUUUUAUUGAUGACAUCCUGGUAUAUUCUAAGUCGAAAUCAGACCAUAUUCGACAUCUUAACUUGGUGUUAAGGAAAUUGAGGGAACACCGAUUAUAUGCCAAAUUUAGUAAAUGUCAAUUUUGGCUGGAUCAAGUGGCAUUUCUGGGACAUGUGGUAUCAGCUCAGGGAAUUCAAGUGGAUCCUCAGAAGAUAGCAGCAGUGGAAAAUUGGGAACAACCUCGAACGGUCACUGAGGUGCGGAGUUUUCUUGGUUUAGCAGGUUAUUAUAGACGGUUUUGUUCAAGACUUUUUCUAUGAUUGCCUUGCCAUUAACGAAGUUAACCAGGAAGGAUGUUAAGUUUGAGUGGGAUGAAAGUUGUGAGCAAAGUUUCCAGCAGUUGAAGUAUUGCCUUACUCAUGCACCUGUGUUAGUACUUCCUGAUGAUAAUGGUAACUUCGAGAUCUAUAGUGAUGCUUCUUUGAAUGGUUUGGGUUGUGUUUUGAUGCAGCAUAGUAGAGUGAUUGCCUAUGCUUCUAGGCAGUUGAAGACUCAUGAAAGAAACUAUCCGACUCACGAUCUUGAGUUGGCAGCAGCUAUUGUGUUUGCUUUGAAGAUUUGGAGACAUUAUCUCUAUGGCGAGAAAUGUAAGAUCUUUACCGAUCAUAAAAGCCUUCAGUACCUUUUCACUCAGCAUGAUCUUAAUCUUCGUCAGAGAAGAUGGUUGGAAUUGUUAAGUGAUUAUGAUUGCACGAUUGAGUACCAUCCGGGUCGUGCAAAUGUGGUAGCUGAUGCUCUGAGUAGAAAACCUCAAGGGCGACUUAAUGCUUUGUAUGCCAGUCGUGUUCCUCUUCUGGCAGAGUUGAGAUCUACUGGAGUAGAGUUAGAAUGGGAAGAGCAAAGUGAAGCUUUUCUUGCCAAUUUUCAAGUCAAGCCAAUUUUAAUUGAUCGGGUGCUUGCAGCUCAAUCGUGGGAUGAAGAAAUUCAAGAAUUGAUCAAUUUAAGAAAUGAAGGGAAGAAGAAAGAUCUCAAGAUCCGAGGAUCAGAUGGUAUGCUUAUGCAAGAGAACAGGAUGUAUGUGCCUAAUAAUGAGGAACUGAAGAAAGAAAUCUUGGAUGAAGCACAUUGUUCGGCUUAUGCUAUGCACCCAGGAGGAACUAAAAUGUAUCAUACCAUUCGACCAUUCUAUUAUUGGCCGGGUAUGAAGAGGGAGAUUGCGGAGUAUGUUAGUAGGUGUAUUGUUUUUGCCAGCAGGUUAAGGCUGAAAGAAGAAAGAAGCCGUUUGGGAGAUUGCAACCACUUCCCGUUCCCCAGUGGAAAUGGGAGAAUAUAACGAUGGAUUUUUGUGUAUAAGCUGCCACGUACACAAAAUGGUUUUGAUGGCAUUUGGGUGGUUGUAGAUCGACUUACCAAAUCAGCACAUUUUUAUUCCAGUAAGGGAGAAGUAUUCUUUAAAUAAGUUGGCUCAGUUAUUCAUAUCGAAGGUUGUAAAGUAUCAUGGUGUCCCAGUGAAUAUUAUUUCUGAUCGAGAUCCAAGAUUUACUUCUAAGUUUUGGAUAGCUUUUCAAGAAGCUUUGGGUACUAGAUUGCUUUACAGUACAGCUUAUCAUCCACAGACAGAUGGUCAGUCGGAGAGAACUAUUCAGACACUCGAGGAUAUGUUGAGAUCCUCUGUGAUGCAAUUUGGUGAUUCUUGGCAUGAUCGUUUGGAUUUGAUGGAGUUUGCCUACAAUAAUAGUUUUCAUUCGAGUAUUGGAAUGUCUCCAUUUGAAGCACUUUAUGGUAAAGCUUGUCGUACUCCAUUAUGUUGGUCAGAGGUCGGUGAAAGAAUACUUGAGGGCCCAGAGAUUGUGGAUGAGACUACUCAGAAUAUUCAGGUAAUUAAGUCUAACCUGAAAGUGGCCCAGGAUAGACAAAAGAGCCUAGCGGAUCGACAUACCACGGACAGAAUGUAUAAUGUGGGCGACUAUGUUUUUCUGAAAUUAUCGCCUUGGAGAGGUGUGGUUCGCUUUGGAAAGAAAGGAAAGCUAAGUCCCAGGUACAUUGGACCUUACGAGAUCACUGAGAGGAUUGGUGAAGUUGCUUACAGGUUGGAGCUACCUCCAGAGUUGUCUAAGGUACAUAAUGUGUUCCAUGUCUCGAUGCUUCGGCAUUAUGUGUCAGAUCCUUCACAUGUGAUUCCUCCUCAACUAUUGGAAAUUAAUCCGGAUUUGACAUAUGAUGAAGAACCAGUGACUAUACUGGAUUGGAAAGAUAAGACCUUGAGGAAUAAGACCGUGAGCUUAGUAAAAGUAUUGUGGAGGAACCAUUCAACGGAAGAAGCUACUUGGGAGACAGAAGAAAGGAUGAGAGAUAUGUAUCCAAGGUUAUUCUAUGAGUAUUGAGGGUUUGGUUAGUGGCUGGAAUUUCGGGGACGAAAUUCUAUAAGGAGGGGAGAUUGUCACAGCCCGUCCCGGAAUUUCAAUUUCCGACGACGUGAAAUUACAGAAACGCCCUUAAACGGGAUUAAGGUGCGUAAAUUUGGUAUUUGUUUUACACUAAGAUCCUAAACUAGGGAUUAGAAUUGUUAUUAGUAUGUGUUAAAUUAUCUGUGUUGGACUUUAGGUGGGACCCUACCCCCUAAAUCAUUCCCUCAAUUCUGGAUCCAUGUCUCCUUCUCUCUCUCUUCCUCAUCUUUCCCUCAGUCACUCUCACACUCCCUCAUUCUCUCUCAAACUCUCGGACAAACACCCAAGACCUUGAAAACUUCACAAGUUAAGGUUGAGGAAGGUAGCAUCGUGUUUGUGAGGACCAUACGAACACAUUGGUAUUGUUUUCAGGUAAGAUUUCCCACGAUUUCACGUAGAAAACUCAAGCCCGUGAAAUGACACUAUUCAUGAACUUUGUGUUUGUUGAUUUUUAGGCCAAACUAAGAUCAUAGGGAGCUCUAGGAGGUUCCCACGAAGCUCGGGGUGUGAAGUUUGGAAAGUUUGGACGUCGAAGUGACCCAGUUCGACGUUUGGGCCGAAUUUGGAAGAUUUUGGAAGGUAUGAUCUAGUAGUUUUUAGGCCCUAAAACCCUUCCAACGUGAUAGUACUUGUUAAAUGCUUCAUUUUUGUAUAAAAUGUGAAGAAAUUGGUUGAAAAACGAAGGAGAAUAGUGGAUUUGAAAAUUUUCCAGAAACCGGCGAACAGUCGCCGGCGACCGGUGACUCGCCGGAGAAGACAGGGAAUCUUCCGUUAAGUUUGACGGAAUAUUCCGACGCCGUUAGUUAACUUUAACGGAAACCGUUAGUUUUUAACGGAAUAUGCUAGGAUUUGACGGAAUAUUCCCUAACGCCGUUCACUGUAGCCGUCAGUAGUGUGCAUGUCACGUGGCCGCGCGUGGGCCGCGCGUAGGUCCGUGCCACGUCAGGCGCGUGGGGGCGCGUGAGGACUCCAAAAAUUAUUUUAAAAAUUUGGGGAUGAUCCUGAGGUUGUGUAGGUCACUGUGGUAUAUUCAUAUACCCAAUUUGAGCAUCGUAUGAAGAAUUAAUUACCUAGUUUUUUUAGGUGCGUUAAAUGUGCGUUAAAUGAUUGUUUUAAGUUAUUUCACUUCUAGGUGGAACUUUUAACGAGGACGAGCACAUCCAGGGGCGUCAAGGGGGUUACGACCCGGCGACAUACCAGUGAGUGGGCAUUUGUUUUUAUAUAUACCUAUAUACUCGAUUUCCCCAGAAAUCAAAUUUAAAUGAAAAGUAUAUUAAAAUGAAAUAUGAUGUGAUUGCCAUGCAUAGAAUAUUAUGGAUAUUAUGAACUGUCGUAUGAUGCAUAUAUGUAAGGUGGUGCUGUGGACGCACAGGUAAGUAUUUAAUUACUGUUAUGUUGAUGAUGAUGAUAUAUUGAGCUCAUAUCCUGCACCAUGGUUUAGUGCUUAUAGUAUUCACCGCAUCGCACGCUCGCCUUGGAUCCAAGUAGAUGCUGGUCGUACAGUCCACGCGGAGUGGGUACGACGGGCCAGUCGUAGAGUGUUAGUGAGAUUAUGACUGGUGGGGUGACCUUAGGUUAUUGUAUACAGAUGAUUGAUGAGAGAAGCACUAGAGCGAAUAUUACCAUGAGUCGUUCAGACUACAUUAGGUGGUUCCGACUUAUGUGCAGAAGGCCGCCGGACAGGUCACGCGGAGUGACUCCGGCAGAGUGAGAUUGAGAUAGAUGUUGAGCUCUAGGUUCAAUCGUUCAGGGCUAUUAGAGGGCCUCCGAUUGAUGAUUAUUUCUUUUACCUGAUUAUAUUAUGUUAAUGCAUUCAUACUACACUGUUGAAAUUGGCAUGGUACAUUCUUUAUUGAAUCUGUUAUAAGAUUGAUGAUUGAGACAGUUGAGAUAUAUAUGCUAUAUACUAUUUUUCUGGGAAAGUAUACAGGUUUUCCAAAAAGGGGUUAUAAUCGUGGAUUUAUGAAAUGAUUUGGAAAAGCUUAUUUUCGCCCACUCACGUUUUCUGUUUUUCGCCCCUCCAGGUUCUAGUUGAUAGUUGAGGCGUUGGUGGCCUACGAGGACUGCUUCGGCGUUCUGACAGACUAAAUAAAUGUAGGAUUCACCCGAGGGUGUUGUAAAAUAGUUAUGGUCCUACUUGACUGCACCUAGACGCUUAUGCUCUGUUUAUGUGUGUUUAGUACACUCUUAUGCACAUAGAAUGCUAGGUUGUAAAUAACUGCAAUUAGUGGUUUUCGUUGACUCGUAUUUUAUUAUUAAAUCGUUUCCGCUUGCGUUAUGGUUACGUCACACUCACGUGACGGCCAGCACGUCCUAGUCUUCGGGUUAGGGUGUGUCAUGAAUGAUCAAGAUUAUGAUAUAGAAAAUUAUGAUAUUUGUUGAUGUUACCUGUAAGGGUAGUGCGUGAACACGAUCAAGACUUGGAUAAGAUGAUUUAUGCAUAUUUUCCCAUUGGGGGGCAUGAUGGUAAUAUUGCACCUCGAGAAUCUGUUACUUACUUAUCGGGACAAUAGUGAGUUGUUGGUAUUACGGGUUGCUGACCGUAAUAUUGAAAAGGAAAAAUUAGUAUCCGGUCCCUAGUUCUUACUGUUCAUUAACUAAGACCUUAUUAGUUCUCAAAUUUUGAUUCAAGUCCCUAUCAUUAAUUUGAUAAUGAAUUUACAUGUUUAUUAUAUAAUUUUUAAUAUAAAAAUUAGUAAUUAAUUUAGGGUUUAAUACUCACACCUCUAUUAAACUUCUAAUUAUUUUUCAAUUCAAACAUUUCCAAAAUAAAAAAAAAUUAAAUUAAAUUAAGUUUGUACCUAUUAGUUUAUAUAUAUAUAUAUAUAUAUAUAUAUAUAUAUAAAGAUUCUCAAUUUUUUAAUCUUAAAUGUACCCAUUCAUAAUUUUUCAAUUUUUUUAAAAUUUUUAUAUCAAUAUACGUAAAUGUACCCCUUUUUUUAAUAUAAAAUCCAUUCAAAAUUUUUAAUCCAUGUUUAAACUUAUAUGGGUACAUUCUUUUUCGUUGAUUUGAGAAUGUAUCCAUAUUUUGGUACAAUACCUUUUUUUUGUUAAUUUUGGUUAAUGUACCCAUACAUAUAUGUACACACACACACACACACACACAAUGUAAUAGAGAGUAUAAUUUAUAUUUUAUUAUUUUUAAUCCCAUAAAUUAUGGGUUUUAUUUAAAAUGUCAUUAAUAUAAACAAUUACAAAUUUCAAUUUUUAAUUUUUAAUUUAAAAAUAUAGUAACUUACAUUAUUAUAUUAAUGUCAGGGACCUCAAUAAAAAACUAAAAACUAACAAGGUUUCAAUCAAAGAAUAUUGAUAGCUAGGGACCGCAUCCAAAGUGUCCCUAUUGAAAACGUAAGUGUGGAAUUUGUUGAACAAGUAGACAUCUAGGUCCGUCUACGUUUAGUUAUUUAAUUAUUGUUUGGGUUUGACCCAAAGAUAGCACACACUCAUCUUUGAGGCACGUGACACAUAUGGGUGUGUAGGUGAAGUUUUCUAUUUUUGGUGUUGUUUGCAGUACAACUAUUUUAACUUCACUUUAUUAUAUACGUGCUUCGACAUUACAUUGUUAUACAUCUAUUUUUCUACCUUAUGUUUUAUAAAGGACUGUAUAUUUUAGUACUGUACUAAAGGAGAAGGAAAGUUUGAAUUGGAGGCACGAAAGAGGAAUUACUGCACUCUAAUCGCGACGGAAUGACAUUCUCUUUUAUGCAACCACUCUAACUUGAUUUCCUCCUUCCAUAUAUAUAUAUAUACUUUUUCCUUUCUUCUGAAGUACAUUAUGUUUAGCUAAUGAUUUCAAAUUUUGGGGACGAAAUUUUUUAAGGUGGAUAGAUUGUGACAACCCGUCCCUAAUUCUACAAUUUUAUAAAUUUUAAAAGAAUUAAUUUAUGAAAAUGCCCUAGAGGUGAAGGUUUUGACUUUCAUUGGCCAACGUGUAGAGAAAUGUAUGACUUAUUCACUUAGCGCAUUUGUGUAGUACUCGUUGGUACGAACACAUAGAUGAAAGCCGUUUGCGAGUCCGGAUUAUAUCGGUAUAAUUAUAGACAUUUGAAAUUGGUUAUUUAUAGUUUAGUUAUAAAUUAAUUCAAACUCCCAACAUGUGGGAGUGGUAACCAAUCAAUUUUAAGAGAGGAAAAGGAGAACCAAUCAGGAAGGGAGAAGGGAAAAAAUAAAUAAAUAAAUAAACCUACCCAUUGGGCAGUGCACCCGCACACCCAAACCGGUCAAAAUCCGGCUAAUUUCUGCCAUUUUAUUUCGUGGAACACCCAUAUCCACCACCUGCAUCAUCUUCCCCAAUCUUUCUUCUUCCAUCUUCGCUCAAGAUUGAAGAGUUUUAGGCCCAAAAAUGCAAAGAACAUCACCGGAGCAUUGGAGGUGUUCGACGGUGAUUCCUCCGAUCCGGCGAGUUUCACCACCCACCACCACCCUUAAUCAGCUCCUCUUGGACCCAGGAACAAGACCCAAGCAGUUGUAGGGGUGUUGGAACAUCGAGGAAGUCGAAUCGAAGAACACCCAUAUGAUGUACGUAUCAUAUGAUGAUAUAUAUAAAAAAAAGUUGAACCAUUUUGUAGAAAAGAGAUUAGAUUUUCAUAUUUAAAUAUUUAAUUAAAGUAGAAAAUAGGACACUGAACUAAAUCUAACAACAACUCAAAUUUUUGGACAUAAAUUAAAGGAAAAACAAAUAUAUAAAUGGGCAUUUUGAUCCAAAUCCAUAAAUUCAGCUGCUUUCACAUUAAGCCUAGUUUCAUUUGGAUUUUUUUAUGUCUAUUUUGCCCUUCAGAAUAAAAAUAAAAAUAUUAUUUAAAUUUCUUAAAUUUGAAUUUUUUUAAUGCCUUAAUCUACCCACUUUCAAAUAAGAAACAUUUUUAAAAACUCAUAUCCAACAAAUAUGAUAAGUUUAUAAGGAUGAAAAAAAACCAUUAUGAGCCGUAUAUAAAAAAUAAAAAAAAAACUUGUGAUGUAAAUAAUAUAAUCAAUUUGUAAUAGAGGCAGAUUAUAACCAACACAAAAAACAUGUGAGGUAGACUUUGAAAUAAAAACUUAGAUAAACAAGUGUAUUGUCGACCUCCGGAUACAUUGUACUCAGGGCCGACCAUUUUUAAUGUUUUAUUUUUUUAAUUAUUUUUUUCAAUUUCUCUUAUAUAAAAUUAAAAUAUUACAAGUUAAUGAACCAAAAAUAAGGUUUGUUUAGUGGACAGGAGUGUUUCCUAUCUUCAAAAGGUUCUGAGUUUGAAACAUGUUGAAUGUCUUUGUGUAAAUUUGUCAAGCUUUUGUGUAAAUUUAUCGCUUGAUAACUUUACAAAUUUUGCAAAAAUUAAAAUUAGAAGAGGAAAACCACAACAAUUAAAAUUAGCAAAGGAAAACCACAGUGAGUUGAACCCAACUCGUGCACAAAAUGGUAGAAAGCCUAACCACUAGUGUUGGAAGAGAACUUUGGUAUUAUGUUGCACAUUUUAAUAUACGUACACAUGUAAAGAGUAUUUGGGAGACCUUCUGAAUCGGGGUCCUUGUGCAGUGACACCUUUUGCACAUCCUUAGGUCUGACUCUAAUUGUACUUUAUGCAUAUCUACUGCCUAGGAAGACAAAUACCUUAUACCUAUAAAGCAUACAUAUUCUACUUACUAUAUACCAAAAGUAUUUUCUACCUCUACGGCUCUACCUAUUGUAACAAAAUAAAUAAACUUCAUUUGCUAUAACUUUUUUACUCAUAAAAAGAUAAGUCAAUAUAAACAAACAAAAAACUGAGGAAGAAAUUAAUAGUGAGAGCAAUAUAUACACAUGAACACCCAUGGUUUUGGGUUCGAAGGCUUUCUUCCUAGCCAUGUGGUUAAAUGUUCCAACAUGAACACCCACGGUUAGUGGUGAAGCUACAUGAGGGUGAGGAGUGGCGGCCGUUCCUCCCCUCGUCGGAAAUCAAGUCCAGGAGCUGUGGUUCCACCUCUCUGAUCUCGUCGGAAGUGAUGAAAUUCCGUAUGGUUUUAUGGCCUUUUGGGUUUCCUUGCUCUAUCGCAACACAGGCUGAUCGUGGGCUCUCUUUUUUUCCAAAAAAAAAAAAAAAAAAAAAAAAAAAAAACCUAGGCCAAAGAAGGGAGGAACGAAGAUCUGCAUUUUGCAGCUUUUGGAAAUGGAGGUCUGGUUCUAACGAAGAAGAAGAGAAAGGAAGAAGAGAGAGACUUUAUCUCCCUCCCAUCCCACCCCACAUGCCCUUUCAUAAUUACAAUUUGUUUUUUUUUAACUAUUGGCCAAUCAAUUUGCGCCACCUAACUUGUUAUUGCUGAUUUAUAUUGGAAUUUGUUUUUUAUUUAUUGUUCAAUUAAUUUGACCACUCUUCCAAUAUUUUUAAGCCACUUAUUUGACACUGUUAUUUAUCUUAAAAUUCACUAUAAAUUUAUACGAGCUUCAAUAAAUAAUUUGUAAAAUAUUACGAACUCGUAAUUAUUUGUUUUUUUUUCUCUUACCAUCAAAUUCAACAAAGUAAUAAAGAAAAAUUGUCACAUUCUAGCCCGGGCCCCCACCACAUCCCAAACUUGACUCUACCAUAGCACGAUAUUGUCACUUUGGGGCCCGACCACGCCCUUACGGUUUUGUUUCUGGGAACUCACACGAGAACUUCCCAGUGGGUCACCCAUCCUGGGAUUGUUCUCGCGCAAACUUGCUUAACUUCGGAGUUCUUAUGGAAUCCGAAGUCAGUGAGCUCCCAAAAGGACUCGUGCUAGGUAAAGAUGAGAAUAUACAUAUAAGGCUUAUAGGAUCCACUCCCCUGGGCAAUGUGGGAUGUAACAAUCCACUCCUUUUUGGGGCCCAACGUCCUCGUCGGCACAUUUCCAACCAGGAAUUGGCUCUGAUACCAAAUUGUUAUAUCCCGGCCUGGGCCCCCACCACAUUACAGGCUCGACUCUACCGUAGCACAAUAUUGUCCGUUUUGGGCCUCGACCACGCCCUCACGGUUUUAUUUCUGGGAACUCAGACGAGAACUUCCCAGUGGGUCACCCAUCCUGGGAUUGCUCUCACGUGAACUCGCUUAACUUCGGAGUUUUUACGGAAUCCGAAUCCAGUGAGCUCCUAAAAGGCCUUGUGCUAGAUAGAGAUGAGAAUAUACAUAUAAGGCUUACAAGAUCCACUCUCCUGUGCGAUGUGGGAUGUAACAAAAUUUGUCAAUAUUUUUAUAUAUUAUAUGUUUUAUAAUCAAUGUUUUUAUGAUAUUAUAUGCUAUAAAAUAAAUAGAUAAUUAUUUAAACGGUAUAUAAUAAAUUGAUUCAAAUUUGCCUAGGUCCUCGCUUAAGUGUAAAGUCAUGUCCACCGUCCGACUAGAGCUUUGCAUCUUUUAAAACUUUGCUAAUUAUACAGUUAAGUAAUAGGACGAUACAACAAGAAAUGGUGUUGAAUCAUCCUUUAAAUAAUAGUGUUGUUCAAACCCUCCUUCGACUAUUUUGAGUAGUCCAAAUCCUCUUUUGAAUAUUUCGGUUAGUGCAAAUUCUCCUAUGAAUAUUACGGGUAGUUCAAAUAAAUCAAUUGAAUGUUCACAUUUUUUCGGGACCCUAAAGAUAUAUUUUUUAAAUUUUGCCCCUCCCUUCGAGAAUUCCUGGCUUCGCCACUCCACGGUUAUGGGUUCAAGGGCUGGUAUUGGAGAAAUGAUGACAAUGAUCAUAAAAUGCAACUAUAUAAACACACAUAAGACAAUUGAGGAAGAAAUAUAUAUAAACAAACCAAAUAAACGUAAUAAUUCGUUUAGCAAAAUGUUUCUUAAAAGAAGAUAUGAAUAAACGAGAAUCAUGAGAGUUUGCAAUUCAUGGAAGAAAGAAAAAGUGAUUUUGUGAAGGAGGAGGAAAAAAAAAGAAACAAAAAGAGGAAGAAGAAGACCAUGCAUAAGAGAUAGUACUGCUUGUACGCAUUGUUUAAAAUAUCGAUAUAGGUGAAAAUAUCAAUAUGCAAAUUUAUAAAAAUAUUGAUGAAUAUAUUGAUAUCGAUAUCGAUAUCGAUAUCGGUUUGGCAACUUUUGUGCAGUGAAUCGGUAAACAUCAUUGGUAUUCAUUGAUUUUCCUAUAUAUUAUCAAUAUAGGGUAUAUUAACUCAUUCAGAUUUAGUCGAAAUUAAGGAAGGAAUUCUAAAAAAAUUCAAAAGUUUGAAAUCUAGAAUGGGUUAUAGCAACUUUUGUAAUGAAUCAGUAAACAUCAUUGGUAUUCAUUGAUUUUCCCAUCUCUUGCCGAUAUAGAGUGAAAUUUGCAUUUCGACCUUCCUUUUCAUAUCGAAUAUUGAUUGUUUGGAUAUUUUGAUGGAAAUAUCGACAAUUUCGUGGAUAUUUUAAACUCUGCUUGUACAAGAGUAAUGAGGAAGAAGUGAUAAUAUUAUUCAAUGGCUAGUUUGGGAUUGUUGUGCUUUUUUAUAUCGAUAAUUGAUUUUUUGGAUAUUUCGAUGGAAAUAUCGAUAAUUUCGUAGAUAUUUAAAACACUGCUUGUACAAGAGUUAUGAGGAAGAAGAGAUAAUAUUAUUUAAAGGCUAGUUUGGAGUUGUUAUGUUUUUUUUUUUUUUUAAAUUGAUUUUGUUGUGCUGUGAUAAUAAAUAACUGUAAAAUAAAACAAUUAAGUAUUUGUUAAACUAUAAUUAUAAAAGUACUCUUAGCCUAAAAAACAGUACAAUGUUUUGUAAACUUUUAUUUCGAAAUACUUUAACUACGUAAAAUGAUUGAAAGAGACAUGGUGUUAGUUAUGCUAUUAGUUUUAUAAUAAUAAUUGCUCAUAAAAUUAGACUAAUAAUAAACAUGAGUAAAGCUAGCAGAAACAACACACGAACGUUGAAGAAGUGGACGGAGCCACUCGUGCGCGCGGCCAACACGCCAAUCAUUGCAACCAUAAGACUGUACUGGGUAUAUCGUCCAAGUGGCAGAUCCCGCACGUGUGGGUGACAAGAUCGAUGCAGUUCCCGUGGAGGGAGGGAGAAUUUAAUGCGCACCAACCGGGUGAGUGACUGCAUGCCUGGUUCCUGAAACGUCCUUUUAACAACCCAUUUGGAUUCGACUGUGAUAUGCCGGGAACACUCACAAAAAGUCCAGCAAGAGAUCUUUAAUAAGACAAACCUCUUAGAUUUGAGAGAUAUUAAGUAGAUUCUUUCGAAGCUUGAUUUUUCAUGAAUUUUCGUACUUUAUAUUUUUUGUAUAAUAUUUUAUAAUACUGAUAAUGAAAUUAUUUCAAAAAUAUGAGACUAAUCCUGAAGAGUCUCUUUUAAAAGAGUCUUUCCCAAUGCAUUUUACAUCAAUAAUCGAACUUCGGAAUGCUUGAGAAAAAUGAAAUCCACCGUCUAGGCUCUCCUUUUCAUUUAGUAAUUUUGUAAAAUAAUUUCAACGUUAAUUUUAUUUUACAGACAUAAUCAUUAGAUAGUAUCAAAUUAUUGUGCAACAUUUUGAGUUAGAAACAUAACCAAAAAAGUAUUACUAGAUUCUUCGUCUAACUUUUAUCUUUUACGUGCCCAGUGGGACUAUGUCACUGUUCUUGCUACUUAAUCUUUUGUUGAAUUUGCAAGCAUUAUUUGUCAUCAUAAAUUUUCCGAUGCAGGAUGAGUGUCGCAAGUCAGGAUUGUUAGUUGACGACGAAAUAGGAGUGCCAACCAACCAGCAUCCUCCAAUUCAGGAUGAGUUUUUUAUGAUACGAGUAUCCGUCAAUCAAUACAUUUGCAUGUUGGUCGAGCAACAAAUUAAUGAGAGAUAGUUGAGAGAUGAUACGAUACAAAUCAUCACUUACGCUUAAGGCAGCUAGGGUUUAAACUCCUCAUCAGGCUGUGUUAUCAGUGUUAAGUCAUCUGCGGUCAACUGUUUCUAACAUUUUUCUUAAUUAUAGAUAUAAAAACCACAUGAAUAGUGCUAUUUCACACACUUAUUAAUUUUGAUUAUUUAUAUCCUUCAAAUCAUUAAAUUUGAUAAUAAAAAAUAAAAAAUUAUAUUUAAAAAAUAAAAAUAAGUAUGUAAAUAAUAUAAAUAUCCGAUCAAACUUGAUACAAAAUGAUCAAUCACGAAUCACAAAAUUAAGCCACUGUGGUUAGGCUAGUGGAUUGUUCACUCACGAUGGCAGUCAAAUCAAGUCGAGCGGUUGCCUUCAGUCUUUAUGUGGUUUAGGACAAAUAUACAUGCCACAACCGACACUACGUACGGCGGGAUUUUGUAUGCUACCUUCGUGUAACAAGACCAAAGUACAAAUCCAUUUAAUUUCGGUUUGCAAUGCAUGCAUGUGCUUUUACCAUCUCCACAAGAUAUAAAAUCCAAAAACAUGUGUUCCUCGCAUAAAGUUUACUGAUUUACAAUUUAUAUGGUUAAGGCAAGAGGCAUGCAUGCGUACUAUGAGUUUUGUCAUGUGUUAACUGUGAACUUGGUAUGCUAUCAUUGACGAAUUUAGAAUUUUUAAAUAAUGAUGUUAUAAUUUUAACUUAAAAAAACUUUAUUGAACCAUUAAUUAAUAAUGUUAUUUAUAUCAUAUUUUUGUACUACAUUUAUAUACUAUGACAUCUGAUUUAGAUAGACACAUCAUUUAAAUUAAUCAGAUUUUUUAAAUUUAAUUAAACAUUAUUUAAUGAACUAAUAAUUAAAAAAACUAGUUAACUAAAUGAUGAAUAUGGUAUAGGUCUUUCUCCCUUCCUUCCCUUUCACUGCUGGGUAUACCGAAUGGUUGCUUCUUUUCUUAAAUCUGCAUCUGUGUUUCCCCGACUGAAGAAACUGUUGGAUCUAAGUCAACAAUCUGUGAUUUAAAUAUAUAUGCUAAUAAACAAUAAAUGCAAUAGGAAUUAACAGAAUAUAAACUAGAAAACGAAUUAUAAAAACAGACAACUUGAAGAUCGAGGCUUGCGUACCGCAAUGUCCUUGAAACAGAAAUUUCGUCCCUACUCAGUGCUUGUAGUUCUACGGACGUCUGCUUCACCAGGAUUCAACGAUCUAAGUCAGAAAUUCCAGCACCGGAAAAUUGACUUCUAGCGAAUAUUAAUGUGGUUCUCUCAGAAAGGAUGUUUAUGAUUGCAGGAGAAGAUUUAUGGUUUUUCUAUUUCUAAAUGCCAUGCAGAUGGAUGUAUAUAUAAUGUGAUUAUACCUGUUCGCAACAGGUAUGAGGAAGGGAUGCAUCUGUUGGGAGACAUAUGCUGAAAAUGGUGUUUUUGUUUCUGCGUUUUCACACUUCAGACUUCAUCUGAAAAGAUGAGUCUGUUGGUAAAAAUAAUUAAUUAAUUCAUUUAAAUUCGAAAUUAAAAAUAAUUAAUUAAUUUAAUUAUUAGAGCCCAAGAGCUCCAAGGCCCAAGUUUUGACAAUUAAAUAAAUAUUAAUUAUAAUUAAUUAUAUAUAUUAAUUACCAAUUAAUUAGUACACCCCAAAGCCCAACCCCAAAGGUGAGCCCAAUUUUAGUCUCCAGGUCUAUUACUCCAAUCACUUUCUAUAAAUGACAAAGCCUUAUAAAGUGAUAAAAUCUUUUGGAAAUGGUCAAUGUGGGACAAAGAAAUUUCUACUCAAACUACUCAAAUUUUCAAAAGAAACCACAAAACCCAGUGGUUCUUCGCUCUCCCAAUCAAGUAUUCACCCUUUCGACCAAGAAGUUUGCUCCAAUGGCGGCUAUCACCCACCAAUUUUCACGGCUUUCUAUGCACAAUGAAAGCUGGGUUUUGAGAAUUUUCAUCAUUUGGUGUGCUAUUUUUUACAAUUGUGUUCUCUCAUUUGAAUCCCUGUUGAAAAAUUUGCAGAACCUACCAAAUCUCAUGCGUUUCUAUACCCAAUGAGAUAUGGGUUUACAAAGUUUCAUGAUUCAGUGUGCUUGUUAUAAAAUAUCAAUGAUAUCAGAAAUAUCGGUAGUCCAAAAACACGAAAAUUUCGAUGGAAAUAUCGGGAUAUUAUCGAUAUCAAUAAAAAUUAAAUAAAAACCACGGAAAUUGUAAGAAAAACUUGGAAAUUUUCAUUGAAACUUUGCAGGAUGUUUAUUUAGUCAAUUAUCUAUUAGUUUAUCACAAAAAAUUGGAAGGAAAUGCAUUGCAUGAUAGAUAUAAUUGAUUUAAGUUGAUUAUAUAGCGAGCUGGCAAACAUUGUGAGUGUAGAAAAUAUGUAGUAAUUAAUGAAAGAAGUUUAAACACAUCAUAAUCAUUUAUAUAUAAUGAAUUAGUACAAUAUUUUACACUUUAUACAUUGGAUGGUAAGAUACAUGAGUGACUUAGCAAGGUCUAAAAUAUCGAUGAUAUCGGAAAUAUCGGUAGUUCAAAAAAAUAUCGGUACUCCAAAAACACGGAAAUUUCGAUGGAAAUAUCGGGAUAUUAUGGAUAUUUUAGACCAUACUUGUUCUGCAUGCUUUGUUCUUUGAUUUGAAUCCCUGUUGAAAAACUUGCAAAAUCCACCAAAUUCAUGGUUUUAUGCCCAAUGAAAAAUUUGCAACACCCACCGGUUGGAAGGAAAAACUCCUUGUAUAUCACAAUCAUUAUUUAAUUUAUCAUUAUUUUUAAUUAUUGAUUUAUUAAAUAAUAUUAAUUAAAUUUAAAAUUUUGAUUAAUUUAAAUGAUGUGAUUGUCAACAUCAUAUGUCGUCUAAGAUGGUAUGAAAAUAUGGUACAAAAACAUGGUAUGAAUAACAUUACUCUUUCGUCAGACACCUAGUAGGAACAUGUUAAUGUUUGAAAUAUUUGUUAAAGGCUUAUGCCGAUAUAUGUCAACAACUAGAGGCCUGUUAAGAGUGAUUACAUGAAAUUGUAGAGUAAUAUCAAAGACUUGUCAACUAGGCAUUUCUUCGACUUGUCGGUGAUCGAAUUUGUUUGAUUGCUGCUUAAUUUGAGUAAAAAUAAUUUCAUGUAAAUCCAUUGUAUGAUACAUCUCCAGCAGGAUUCUCUAUGUGAGGAUUCUGAGGAUUCUAAAAUCGUGUCCAUUUAUUGUAUAUUGUGCGAUCAGUUUUUAUCAGAUACUAUUUAUAUUUAAUUUAAAAUUAAAAUAUCUAAAAGGAUUUCUGAUCGUAAGAUGUAUAAUGAACAGAUACAAUUUAAAAAUCCUCGGAAUCCUCACAAAGAGAAUCUGAAAAAGAUCCUCAUUCAAUACAUUUCACAUUUAGAGUUACGUGUUAUUCAGAUUAUGUAACAAACAUAACUUUAUACAUACACUGCUAUUUGCUCAGAACACCACGAUAGAAGUAUGGUUAUACAUCUUUCACAUUUAGAGUUGCGUGUUAUUCAGAUUAUGUGACAAACAUAACUUUAUACAUAAUACAGCACUGCUAUUUGCUCAGAACACCACGAUAGAAGUAUGGUUUUCGACUGCAUGCAAGUCCUUUCCGGUAUCACGAGUGGAUCAUCAAGAUUGAGUAGAGCCAAAUGGAGGAAAGAGACUGAAACAAAGAAACACGUCCUUGUUGGAAGUUGGAAGCUUAAUUUGGCUGUAUAUAUUGUUGACCAAAACAAGCAGAAACUUCCAAAGACAUGUUUGAUUAAGAUAAGGUUUUUAAUUUAUCUUUUUAUGCAGAGUCAAAAGAGUUUUGUUGUACGAAAUGAAGUUUUUGUAUUUUCGUGUUGCAGAUAUCAGAAGAUGAAGAAAAAGCUGGUGCGGAGUCAAAUCCAAAGUUUCCAAGUACAGAAAUCAAUAUUAGUUUUACAAUUCGAAUCAGAAAAGUUGGAGUAUUAUGCUCGGUAUAUAUUAUGCAUCAGAAAAUUGUGGGUUGGAAUUCUUGUUCUUUUUGUUUAGCUAAAUGACUUAAGAAAGCAGCUGGUUAAGACCGCGAUAGAUAACAUGUUUCAAUGCAUUGUGGAAGAAUCUUAAAUUGAAUAAUUAUUUAUAUGUCGCAGUUAUCUUGUCGUAAUGGUGUAUUGUACUUAUAAUACAAAAAUAAAUAAAGUUUUACCAUAAAAUGAUUGACAAUAUAAAAAGUAGAUUAAUAAUUAAUUACUUAUAAACUUAUACAUGAUCUUUUCUUCCAUUAAUAUAAGACUAAAAACGUGGAAAAAAAACUAAUACAUUAUUAUAUCAAAAAAGAUGGACAAUCAAAGGGUUUCUCAAUUCAAUAGGAGCCCAAAGGAGUGAGGUGAAUAGGGUCUUAUCCCAAAUAAGAGAGAUAUGUAAAAAGCUUGUCUAUUUACGUCUUAUUCCUAAUCUUAAAUGGAAUUUAAUGAUGUAGGGAUCCAUGUAUAAACAUAAUACCUAUUUAAAUACAUUCGAAUAACCUGUUAUCAACGUUAAACGUUAUUGUAUUGGUAACCAUUCCAUUCAAGUCGCUGUUUCGAAAUUGAUGCAUGUUAAGUGUUGCUAUAAGGGCAGAAGAGGUGCAGAUAGCAGGGAGAGGGGAGGUCCACAGGUGAGUGGUGACUGCUGACUGCUGACUGAGGUGAGCCCAUGAAAAAAGAUGAUGAUGAUUGUGCAAACCAAGGAUAGUUACUAGUUCAAUCAAUCAUUGCUCACGAGCGGGUUCGCCUUACAAACGUGGCCGCACGAUGCUCCAAGAACCUGCACAGCUCAGCUGAGGACCCAGUCACCCAAAUUAUCCCACUUUAUACUCUACUUUCGACCAACUUUGACUCAACUGACUAGUUCAUUUUCUUUCUCCAAAUUGCACUUUUGGUUUAGGUAGUUUGAGUAAUUUUCCACUUAGUUUGGAACCUUGGAUUUUGGCCAUUUUAGCCAUGUAAUUGUAGUUGGUCUAUUGGGAAGAGGAUCCGGUUCGGAUCUCUCCCAUCAAAGGCUCAAGAUCAAAUGAUCUGGAUCGUUGAAAUUUGAUCAAAUGGUUACAAACAGAGAACCCCUCUAAAGUUAUAAUAAUUGUAGCCGUUGGAUCAAAUUUUAACGACCAAGAUCACUUGAUCCUAGACCUUUGAUGGGAGAGAUCCGGACCGGAUCAUCUUCCAGUCUAUUGGGGCAAUCUUGGUAACCAGUUACUUAGCCCGUUAUAAGUGAAGACGGAAAAUUUGACAUGUGUGUGCAUAUAUCGUACACAACUAACUUGACAUUUGAAGUGUAAUGACUGUGUGUGAAUAUUCCUAAACCCUAAAAUUCCUAUUGUGUUGAAAGUUUAUAAUAUAUGGAACAUAGACGACCAUGCUUAGCCAACCAGGCAGAAGAGAAGGUUAAUAAUUCAUCCACGAAGUCUGGUCCAUACUCCUUUCUUACAAUGCUUGUAAAUGACGUCAACAUUCCUUUGUGUACAAUCUUUGUAAAUGCGUGACUAUAUUAUCGGAGAGUAGUUGAUUAGUAUCACACAAGUACCAUUUCAGAUUACAUUUUCAUCACUACUUGUACUUUUGGAUGGACUUUACUUGCUAUUUUGUUGAUCCAAUUUUAUGCAUCAUCAUAAGGACUAAAAUGAAAAAUUUCUCAAAUUACAAGGACCAACAAUGUAAAUUUACCUAUUAAUAUUAUGCUCAUAGCUUUGUUAAUUUUCUGUGCAAUUUAAAUGUGGUUGGAAAUUUUUACGUCCAAAAAAAAAAAAAGAACAAAAUGAUGUUUGCUUUACUAGUCUUUUUUCCUACCAUUGCUUGAUCAAUCAUAUAAAUAGGGCUCUCUGCGUUGCAGGACCACAUUUGAGAUAACAAUUUUGAAUUUGCAUGGCUGACCAUUUGCUCUUGCUUCACUAAUGAUUGCCAUUAUGUCUUUCUCGUUUUAACAUGCAGCAUCAUCCAUUCCACUUGUUGUAUUAUACGAAACACUAACUACGCUUGUUAGAGCAUCUUCACGAGGAGAAAAACUUGUACUGAGUUUCCGACCACAUUAUUGGUAGGACAUCUCUUAUUGAAACUCUAGACGAUGUAAGAUUUGUCCUGAUCAGACUAUCUCAAACGAGGCAAACUAGAACCAUAUUGAAUUAGGUUAAAAACAAGGGAAAGUUUGCUUCAAGGGUUUUGAAAAGGUAAGGUUGCCUUUUGGAAUUUCUACUAUAUUGAACAUGAUCCUAACAAACAUGGGAAAAUCUUGACCCAAGUUUUUAUCUUAUGUAAAGACAGGAACAUUUUCCUACAUCUUAUAAACAUGGGAAAAUCUUGAGUUGGAAUUUUAUCAUUUACAAUGAAUUGUAUAGAAAUUUCUCUCUUCUCAAAGUUUGAAGAGAUCCCAAGUUCAAAUCCAUCCGCUCGACCAAAGAACAAAAAGAAAAGAAACAAUGUUACCAUAAUCAAUACAUAAUACUAAGAGCCCACUUCUAUUGGGGUCUGGCUACAAUACUACGUCUCACUCAAUAGUACGGUUUACAAUUCAUAUGCAAGACUUAAACUAUUGAUUUUCGGACCACUAAGGUCCCGUUUGGGAUUGAGGUGAUUUUAAAAAAAGCCACUGUGAAAAAAAGCUGAGGGUCAUUUUUGUGUUUGGUAAACUGAAAAAAAAUGGCUUAUUUUGGAAGCUGCUGUGAGAAUAAGCUGAAAAUCAAAGGAAAAGCUGAAGCUGCUAUUUGCUGCUUUGAAAAAAAGCCAGUUUUUUCAAAGCACACGGAGCUACAGUGCUCCUUUAAUGAAAAGACACACUAUCAUCCUGAUUUUUUUUCCAAAAGCACUUUCACAAAAGUUUACCAAACACUCUACUGGCUUUAUUUCACAGCCGCUUAUUCUCACAGCACAGCCGCUUAUUCUCACAGCAGCUUUUUUUCAAAACACAGCAAUACCAAACCAGCCCUAAGUAGUAUGUACCAUAUAAGAAAAAAUAGGAAAAACAAAAAGAUAAAGAUUGAAGGAUCCAAAGUGUUCCAAUGAUUUCGUUUUCUAAGCACUGACAGAACAAAAGUUGCAGAAACAGGGUUCUGGAAAUGUAUUGGAGAAGAACCAAAGUUCAUAUAGAUGUGCCACACGGGGGGAGGCUUUAAGCAACAGAUAAUCAAGGCAACAUAGGCCUACCUCUGCAAAGCAAAACAUAGUGCCAAAAAAGUCAAAAAAGUUAAAAAGGAGAUUACAUGGACUCAUCGGAUUGAAUAAAUCUAACAGAAACAAGAAGCAAAAUCAAACAUGAGCAUCGAGGGAGAAAAUCGGUGUGUGGUUAUCAAUUCUGUGAAUUAAAAAUUUGUAAAACCAUCAAUAAAAGCAACUCAGAACAUCAACAUUCCAGCACAAAAGAAAGAAAAGAAGGGGUGAACUUUCCCUUUCUGCUAAGCAGCAACACAUGGUCCCCUCAAUACUUUGAUGGUCAGGAUUCAUGCACAUAGAUAAAGUGAAUGAAUGAAUGCAUCAACACAUUAGCACCAUAAUUUUUUAAUUUAUCAUGCAUAAUCAUUAUUUAAUACAACAAUUAAUCAAAGGGUUUUCUAUGAUGGCAUUCUUAGGCCAGUAUAAGCUAAAGAUACAACAAAGAUGUAUAUUAAUUUAGACUUAGUGGGAAGAGAAUCAUUAAUUGGCCGAAAAUUUCGGCCUUUGGUGAAAUUUAACCGAGUAUUUGCACUUUCUUAUCAGCUAAAUACGUGGUUAGGCUAAUAAUCUCAUGACAACUAGACCUAAUAGUAUUAGAGCAUUAGACUAAAGAGUGCAGGUGUUUUAUAAAAUAGCGUUAUCUUGUUCUGGAUGAAUCAUCUAUCAUAAUCCAUAACCUGAAUUUUGCAUUGUUUGUGUUUCCUCUGAAACAUACAAAAUCCACAUCAUUCGUUUGGUCUUUAACAUACAGCAGAUGACUCAUGUUUUGGUCUAAGUUGAGCUAAACCCCUGCAAAAAGUCCAGGUGCCUAGAAAGGGAAAUUUCAAUGGACUCUAUGAACUAAUUGAACACUACUGUAACAGACGGAUCAUCACAAAUGGUUCGAAGUUUUUAGCAAUGACGGUUUCUAGGGUUUUCUAUAUUUGAAUACAACUAAAAUGUUCCAAUCGAUUAGAAGAAAUGCAGACGAAGAACAUACUUUAGUGGAAAAACAGUGCUUGAUAUGACUAAUAUGUUCCAUAAAGUUUCUUGCCACUACUUCCACCUCUUUCCCACCCAGAAUACACCAUUUCGGGUCAUAUAAUAAAAAUCUUCUCCUUUUUUUGGUUAAGUGGGCAACCUCAUCAUCAUCCUUACCUUUGGGUUUUAGGGUUAGGGUAAUUGCAGACUCCAAAUGGCACCAACUGCUAAAAGCAAACAGGCUAUAUACGUAUAAUCUCGUUCGAGAAUUAGAAUGAUAUAAUCGAAUAGAGCUUCAUGGAACAAUCUAUUCUAUCCAAGGGCACACUAAAGCAAUAAAUGAUAUGAACUUCAACUGUGACAACAAGAAACAAAAGCAGUAUUCAACAACAAUAAUUUGUUGCACAGUUCUUACUCAUCAUCUUCUGAGAUAAAAGAAAUCCUGCAUAACUUUGGCAUGCUUGGGGCCAUUUACUUAUUACUUUAAAGCAAUUAUGUCUUUUGUACGCCACUGACAGCACUCGGUUUUCGUUCUAUUUCUUCCUUUUCUUCUUCCCUAGUUCAUCAUACUAGACCUUGGGCCACGUUUGAAGGAAAAAGAACAAUGCAGUCCUGUAGGUGGGGGACCAAGAAAACUCAUGGGCGAAGGCACUUGCCAUCGCACCAAGUGCGACCUCUUUGCAAGCAAAAUUAGAUGCAAGCAAAAUGAGAUACAAGCAAAAAAUGCGUUCGCGUAGGGGUUACAUUAAAAGAAAAACUCAUAUUAGAAAUCAAUAGAGCAUCAAUUCAGAAGUUGAGUUAAUUGGAUGCAAUUACAGAGAUAACAUAAAACUGACAUUAUCCUAUGAUGUGCAGAUCUCGGUACAACAGUGCAAUCUAUGUCUUUUCUGGCGUUAAAGAAUUCAGAUAUGUAAUUUAAAUUAACAAUUCAAAAUGAUAAACAAACUAAAAUUUUGACAUAUUAGAAGAAAUAUAAAUCAGACUUUCUGUUUUUUUAUGUUUUUUCUUUUUCUUUCUAGUCUGUGUCUUCACAAAGGCAACGCGAAAGAGCCUAAAAUAGUUCUAAAGCUGCACCUGUUAUGAUAAUUGAAUAUUAUUCCCCGAGAAACAAAGUUAUAAUAAAAGGCUAAACAUGGAUUUGAUAAAUCAUAGUACGAAUGCAGGCAACAUCUAAAGUUGUUACCGAUUUACUUUCUAAAUAAGGCACCUUUCGAAAAGUAAUUAAUUUAUGUUACCAAAUUCAACUUUUCUCCUCAUGCUAAUAACCCAAGGUAGAACUGUAGAAUUAGUGGAGCAACUUGAUCUUCUUACUUCAGGGAUACGGAAGUUAUGCAGAUUAACAUGCUGAGCUGCAUGGGGAAAAUACAGACAUAAACGUCUCAUCCCACAAUAAUAUCUGACAACAAAAAAACUCAUGCGGUAUCAUGAAACAAUGUAUCAUUCAAUAUGUACGAGUUGUAAGGCUUGAUACAAAACGUAAUCAUUUAUUCCAGAAAGAGUAAUCCAAGAGCUUGUGGACCAAGACUACCACUUAAGGCUUCAGUAACAUCAACUAAUAUCCCAAUGGAUCAAAUGUGAGCAAUGAGUCUUUUAAGCACAAAUUAAAUGGGCUGUUAAUACAUGUUUACAUACACAAUGUUAACAAAAUUCUUGUUUCCCUUUUCGUGGCCACAGCCUGCCGAUGUUACAAGGAGAGAUGCCAAAGCAUAAAACUACGUAACUACUCAAGAUUUUUCCUGAAAGAGUACAGGGAAAACUAAGGCCGAAAAGAUAGCCACCGCAGCAUCAGUCCUGCAUCAUAGUGAUAUAAUUUUGAGACGUUUAACGCACCAAAGGCACCGGAGAAACGAUAAAAUUUUGAACCAUGCAGAUAAAACAACAAAAGGUACUCAUGAAAUACAUUAGGUAGGAAAAGGGGCGGGGGGGGGGAGGAAUAUAACCGGAUAAAUCUACGACUUUAUUAACUAAUUGUUACUGCUCAAACAUUGUGGAAACAGUGGAGUUGUAAACUGGAAACCAAAUUAUGCGUGCCAGUUCCAUGAUUCCAUGACCCUCACACACCAAAUAAAGACAAGGUAGUGCAACUCAAAAAAGGCAACCUCAAAAUCCCAUGAUUCCACCAGGCAUUAUCUCGAAAGACAUGGAUCAUUUCCAAGUCAUUGUCAACUCUUUAUCUCCCUUUUUAAACAGCAACAAAUACGCAUGGUGGUGGUCGACCCCUUUCAGUGUUGGGCCAAAGCUUUUUCUCCAGCAAUUGCAUUUGGUAAAACACCUGAGUAUUCCACCAAGACAAAGAUAAUGGCAACUAAACAACGUUUUCAAGUUUCAGGAACAUGGGAUUCUCAGAAACCUAAACACCCAACUAAAAAUCCACCAAAUUUUAAACCCCGAACAUGUUUCAGCAUAUAACAAGCCAACCAGUAAUUAACCAGUUUCAGAUUGUGCAAAAAAAAAUGUAAUCUUUUCUUCUGAGAAAUUAAAUAAAUAGAAGAGGUGGGGAUAAUAGUAUAGAGAGGUACCAAGAGGUUUGUACUGGAUCUGCUGCUCUCCGAGUUACUCAACGAGUUAGACCGGUUCUGGACUGUUGUUCGAUUUUCCCGGUUCAGGGAUGAGAGGAUUUAUGUUAAAUUUUAUUAUUUAAAAAAAAUGAAAAUUGAGAAAAAAGUUCAGUUGCCGGGAGGGUUAGCUUAUGCAUUUAUUAUGUAAAACAGUUCAGUCAUUAACACAAUUAUCCAUUGUCGUCCAGCGGUUAGGAUAUCUGGCUUUCACCCAGGAGACCCGGGUUCGAUUCCCGGCAAUGGAACUUUUUUGCCAAAUAUUUUUCAUUGAUAAAAAAAACGUUUAAGAUUUGAAGUAUGGGGAAUUGAAAUUAACAAACAUGGGAUUUUCCAACGGGAUCCUCUUCGGAUCUUUUUAGUAAGGAUUCAUCUGUUCGAAUCUUUUUAGUAAGGAUUCAUCUGUUCAUCGUAUAUCAUACAAUCAAUUUUUGGUAAAUACUGUUUGUGUUCAAUAACCAUACGACUGAUUCUCGAAAUUCUCACAAAGAAGAAUCGGAUUCUAAGAUUUUAGCCAAUUUUCCUUGAUAUAUUUUGAUUUAUAGCAUUGCAUAUUCAUCUUUUGAGUAAAGCGACGGCGUUAAUGGAUCAAACAGUUGACUAUGAGCGAACAAUAUUACACAUUCAUUUAUUAACAAAACAAAAUCAAAGAAAAAUAACAUUCAUUCGAGUUAAACUCCUAAUAACAUGAAAUAGGCUGUGUUUUUCAUUAAAAUUACACUUCAACAAGUGUCUUGGAACGUAACUCGGAUAUUCCAAUGCAACGAUAGAGCUCGAUUCGAGCAUAUACAAAAUGAUCGAGCCCUUCCAUUUCGGUUCAUCGGGGGUUAGCUUUUCGAUACACAUUACCCUUAACUCAAAAACAUUCAAAGUCAUCGGACUUCAAUAAACCGACUAACCCUACCAAGUUCAACAUCCGAAUGCUGUUAAAAUUUAACUAGUGAGGGUGGAGAGCAUGCCUCCACCUGCAGUAGGUAGCACCACCUCCCAACCCGGGCCUUUGAGGGGAAGCACAUCGGCAACACCAUUGGCCUUCUCUUCUUCAUGAUCAGCAGGACUGCCCAUUAGAUCACUGCGAUCCAACACCCUCUCCAAAUCUUCGUCACUGAUAACCGUCUGUAUCAUCUUGUCUUCAGCAGAUUCUUCCUCUCGGAGCAAUGCUAUAAGAUCCUCUUCCUGAACCAAAUUUAGCACAACACCAAAAUUAGCGAGAUCCUGAUUAACCUGACUGAUUUCAGCUCGGACCAUUGAAGACUUACGAAAUUAUGAUUGAGAUAAAAAGAAAGAGCUUGGAUAAUUCAUGCAUCAACAGCAUCAGACUCCGUAAAUUGAUUUUCUAAUUCAGUUCAGCAUAACAAACAAAGGGCAACUAACCUCCAGGAAAUCAGUACUACUCUUCGCUUUAUCUUGAUGGAACUGCCCUUUCCCAAUCACCACAUGUUCAAGCUUCAACUUGCUAAAAGCUCUUUUCAGAAUCCGACCCUGUUAAUCAACAUUUUCUCCGAAAUUUUUUACAAUGACAAUAAAAUAUACCCAGUUACAUAUAAAAAGCUGCAAGCAACACCAGCUUACCUCGACAGAUUGUGCUGUUGCCAACCUGUAAACAUGAACAGGCUUCGUUUGACCAAUUCUGUGACAUCUAUCCAUGGCUUGCAAAUCCAUUUGAGGGUUCUGGUAUGCACAAGCAAUAUAUGAAAUGAAAUCAAUCAUUCAUGGAUCUUUAAUUGCAGCAGAAGAAUCGAAGAAAGAAUUAAACAGAGAGAGUGUAUACCCAAUCACUGUCGUACAGUAUACAAGUAUCAGCUGCAGUAAGGUUGAUACCCAGUCCACCAGCUCUGGUGCUUAGAAGAAAGAUUCUAUAAUUGCUGUCCAUGUCAUUGAACGCUGCAAUCUGCUUUCAGGAAUAGAAUAGUUAUAAUUAAACUAUAGUUGUUCAAAAGUAAGCGCUGAACCCAAAAGGAGGGGAAAACCAAAUUUGAGUAUGUAAACAAGUUGGGCAAUGAGAAAAUAAACUCCCAAAUCUAUGUACCGUGAGAACACUAAUCUAUGGCACGAACUUAAGGUUUUAGCUGCCAAGAAAUAUAUUCUGAUGGCAUAACCACAUUUAUUUUGGCAGUUAUGCUUUGAUUGAACCAUUAUGUUACAUUGCAGAAGUCUGAGAAAACAAGGGUUGCUACAUUGUGGAAAAAUAAGUCUAGUUUUAAUGUGGCCAAAGAAAGAGAUCACAUACAUCAACUACUAAACUUCGAAAAUUUCAAACGAAAAAUUAAGAGUUCUGAUUCAAACCAACCACAGACCUGAUUUCUCCGAUCUUCAAGCCUCACACUGCCGUCAAUUCUACAAACUUCUAAUCCUUUCUCACUAAAAUAGUAGUCCAUAAUAUCCAAAAUCUUAGUCCACUGAGAGAAGAUAAGAACCUGAAUACAAAUUCAAGAUAUUAGCAACCCAGUAACAAACAAAAACAAAUCCAAAAAUAAUUGGUAGGCAUACCUUGUGUUUGCGGGCAAACAGGUACUUUAACAGCCGGUCCAGCAAACUAAAUUUUCCACACUGUUCAACAAUCUGUUCAACAGGCGGGUAGAAAUCUGUCAAGACAAAAAAAAAAAAAUGCAUAAGCAUUGGUAUAGCACCUAUUUGAUAUGAUAACACUGAAUCAAUUCAAGGCAAAGUACAUGAGCCAUCAAACGCAGACUCCAAAAGGUCAGGAUGAUUGCAGUUCUUCCGAAGUUGGACCAUCAGAUUGUUAAGCUUUCCUUUCAUACCGCGAACUGCAAGUUUAAGAAUUGUUAAAUAACACAGAUUGCAGCAUAAUAUGAUACAGUAAAAGACACCAAGCCAAUCAUCACAUUUCAACACCAUGCCAAAGUAUACAUAGUAUACCUUCAUCCAAUAUCCUGAUUAAGGUUAAGAACCAUAAAACAGGCCCAUUACAAAAUGUGUUACCGCAGUGAAAAAAAGAAAGAUUCAAAUAGCUAGUCUAUCAUAAAUCCUAAAACCAUGGCAAAAAUACAAGCCCCACCAAUAAUCCACCUCCUUAACUGCCUUAGUUAAUUAAAGUCAUUAAAGUAAGACCCCAGAUUUCUCACAAGGAAUUUAGUGUCCAAAAGUUUCACAGCAAAGACAGAUAUCAUACCAUGGUCUCCCCUCUCAACUAAAUAAUUCUCCAAUGUCUUAUUGAUCAGAAGAUCUUGAAAAUGUUUUUGAUGCUCUGUCAUGCAUGCAUAUAAUAUGAUUUCCUUUUUCCUAGGAAGCAUGUGCUCAACAUCAGACUUCAUUCUUCGAAGAAGAAAAGGACGCAAGAUGGCAUGGAGUUUUGCAACCAUCUGCAGACAAUGGAACACCAAUUAAACAUCACCCAAUUCAAAUUUGUGCAAGAUUUUAAGCCACAAUAUUUGCAAGAACACAUACUUGAGCCCUUCUCUUCUCUUCCAAUUCUUCCUUCAUUGCCUCAUUACUGCACUUUCCUGCCAAAUCAAACCUGACAACAUGAUUGAAGUUAAGCUAAUUGAUGGGGUCAAGUAAUAUUAGAACCAUUAUCUGUCGUAAUUUUUUUCAUCCAACAAACUAACACAAUCUAGCCGCACAGUAAAUUCACAAGUUUUCCACAAAAAUUACUCACCUAACAUAUCAUGGAUCUUUUUUAUUUAUAUGACAAUAUAUUUACACUAGAUUUGAACCUAAGACCUCUCACUUACAAGUGAAGAGAAAUACAACUACACCGUACUAAGUGGCACUGGCAAAAUAUACCAACAUAUAGCAUGGUUCUUAAACAGCUAACCUUCAUCACAGGAUUUCUAAAAUCUAAUAUUUAAGUAGGCUUGAAGCUCAUUUCCUCUAGUUAUACAUAUGCAAUGGAACUUUAGUUGCAUCAUGCAGAUUCUGAGGGGCAGAAAGUUGUCAACCAGACUACUUGUGGAGAUGUCCACCUCACUAGACGAACAAGUUGCAAGCUAACACCAUCAAACAGAAGAAACAAUAAUUAAUCAGAAAACCAUAUUUACCAUGACUCAAAUUCUUCAUGGGAUGAGAAUAUAUCAGGCAAAAUGAAGUUUAAUAAUGACCAAAGCUCUGCCAAAUUAUUCUGUAGAGGUGUCCCGGUCAACAGAAUCUUAUUGUCUACACGUAAAUGUUUCAAUUCCCGCAGCAGCAUGCACUUUGAGUUCUUCAAUCUGUGACCCUUUAAUAAACAGAUGCAUAAAAGUUCAACAUUCAUGCUAUAUAGUUAUAUCGUUUGAAAGGGAAACUGUAUCUGUAGGACUUGUUAGAUUACUUACUUCAUCAACCACCAGAUAUUUCCAACUGUAAUGUCUUAAACAUCUUCUUGCAUCAGCCAUUGCAAUUUCAUACGAAGUAACAAUUAUAGGGAACUUAGGGCCAAUUUUACUAGGCAUGUGCUUCCUUCGUAUCUCAUCCCUUUGUUUCUUGUCACCAUGGUAGACAAUAGCAUUUAUUGAAGGUGUGAACCUAUUUGGGGUAAAAAGAAGUCAAAUGAAGAAUUAAAGUUGGAAAAUCAUAGGAUGAAACAAAAUUCAGAUCAGUUAAACAAAAAGUAUAUAAACAAUUUACCUUGAAAUUUCAUUUACCCAAUUCGCAAGAGUAGAAAGAGGAGCAAUCACUAAGUAGGGCCCAUCCAUUCCAUUCCCUUUUAGAUGAGCAAGAAAACCAAUGGUUUGGAUAGUUUUUCCAAGUCCCAUUUGAUCUGCAAGGAUCCCAUUCAGACCAUUUUGCCAUAAUGAGAUCAACCACUUUACACCUUUGAUUUGAUAAGACUUCAAUUUUCCACCAGUCAGCAGAGGCACAAGUUCCUUUUGUUCUUUUUCAAUUCUUUGUUCUUCAGUGAGGUUCUCAUCUUCAAUUUUCACACCCUCUUUAGAUCUUGUAAGCAUAGCUUCAACUGCCUUCUUUGCCUUCCUCUGGGAAGUGAUAAUGCACAGGUAAAGAUGUCAAGAUACAAAAUACAUAAUGAAGAUACAUGGAACUUAAUGAGCAUACCGAAAUAUCAAAUAAAGAUGUGCUUUUUCAGAAGGGAUGGAAAAGUAAAACUUAUAAGAAUAAGACUUUCCCAAGAUUUCUCAAGAUUUAUUACAUGGCAAAUAGAGAAGAAUCCACUUGGUACAGGAGGCAAGAGCAAGCAGACUACUAAAAACCUCAAUGUUAAUCAAUAUAAUAUCAACCUAAUCUGAUUUUACACCUAUAUAGGAAUCCAUGUAUAACUAUGACCUACCAAACCAAACUCAGAAAUAUCUCAUUUAAGAAAAGUAAAGGAAGCAUAGAAUUUCUUACAUUAUCAAAAUUGGCAGCUGCCUUUCUUUUCCUACCACGACCUUUCUUUUCCUCAACAUUCUUUUCCUCAACAGUUUCACUCGGUUGAUUGGCUCCAACCUAGUAAAACAUUUCAUUUUAGAACUUGAUCAGUAAAAAUAAGGAAUUCACCAUUCAAGAAAGUGUAAGAGACUGUACAAGUGUGAUGUUAUCCAUUUUCUCAAGCAAAAACUGCGAGUACAGCUGAGUUUGCGUAAGGAGCUCAUCCAACUUGUUAUACUGAGUGUCAUUAAGGUGGGGCAACUGCUCUGGUGCCUUUCCCAUUUCUGACUCCUCUUCCUUAACCCGCUCUUCAAGCAAUUUCUCCUCCACCUCAGUCAGCUUGACGUCGAUCUUUGUCUCACAUGCAUCCUUAAACAUGAUUAAAAUGCAACAACAUUAUUCAAUCAACAACAAAAAUAUGGGUCAAGAAACUAGAAAUGUAACAUCACGAGAAAAUUAAGACAAAUUUAGACCAAUUUAUCAACUCCAACGAAAACCACACAACGGCACAAUAAACCUAUCUACUUAGUCGCCCAGAAGUCUGCCAACACUAUGAAACACAAUAAUUCACAGAAACAAUAGAUUGAGCAUGUCUGUGCAAACAUCGAUUUCACAGCAAACGAAAACUUAAAAUUUCAUUGAGUAUUAACUCAGACUUAGUUCGAAAGAUAUGAAAGAUAGAGACACACAAACACAAGCAUGCAUAAUUUUUCUUCAGGAAAAAAAAUCCUUUUUUCGAGCAAUUCAUGUCUUUCUACGAGCAUUUUCCUCCAAAUUCCACCAAAUUACAAAUCCCCAAACAGAAAAACUGUACAAACAAACGCCAUUCCAGAAUAAAUGAAAGAAAACCUCGUCCUCGAGUACUGAAGUCGGAGAAUCUGCCGGCGGAUCGUUCUUCGUCGCCAUUUCAAAAUCUACAAGCGAAGAACAAACACUAAGUACAUAAAAACCGAAUAAAAAACCCUAAUGACAAAUAAAUUUGUAGGAUAUCAGGAAAACACAAACCCUAGGAUUCAAAUUCCAGAAAUAGCCGUGGAAAUGAAGUUUUCACCCAAAUCAAAAUAAAAAUUUGAAAAAAUGAAAUAAAAAAAUGAAAUGUAGGAAAUAGAACCGUACGGCGGUAGGGUUUCUUCUCAGUGCGAGGCGCGGAGAGACAGAGGGCUCCAGAGGCAGAGGCCGGAAGCGGAGAGAGCAAAAGGAGGGAAGGCGAAGAAGCGCUUGAGAUAUUUAGUGAGAGAGAGUGAGGAGGGUAGUGGAGGAGCAGCGAGGUAAUAAAGUUAGUACAGCACCAAAUCCAUUUUUUAUUUAUUUUUUGAAGUGAUGGGUGUGACUGGGCGGGAAAAUGGGGUUUCGAAUUUGCCCUAGGAUUAGUAGUUAAUUACUCUGACGCAUUUCGUGGUGGUGUUAGAAGAUUUGCCUUUUUUGGUUAGUCUUUCAGCGUUGGUGAACAGGGUUUAAUUAGUCUUUUCAGUGGUAUUAAAGUGGGUUUGUGGGUUCCCAAAUUGGGGAACAUGCGCGUUUUGUCUGCCCUACUUUUCAGAUCUUAACGUUAUAUGAUAAAAUGAUAUAUCACGUAUUUUUAUAUAAAUUGUGAGAAAUUUUAUAUUUUAAAUUAUUAAUUUUUCGACAUACAUAUCAUAUUAUUAUAUAGUGAUACGUAAUAUAUCACUCUAUGUUUCGAUCACACACAAAAUCUCUCAUUGUUAAGGUCACUCUUUGGAUUUUUUAGGUGUAUCCACUCUUUUUAAUUUAGUUUUCUUUUUGCUAAAUAACUUUUGAAUUUUUUAGGUGUAUUCCAUGGACCAUCCUCUUUUUUUAUCACUUAAUACUAGAGUCUAAUAGAAUUUUUUUUUCACUUGUAAGUAAGAGGCUUUAUAUUUGAUUUUCGCUAAAGGUAAAUUCGAAUCACGUUAUUAUGGCUAACAUAUACUGUAACUUAGUUCACUCCCUCACCCUCUUUGUAGAUAAUAUCAUAUGUAUUAGAAAAAGAUAAUACUUGAGUUCUGAUCACUAAAUCUUUAUAAUUUUUCGUAUUUAAUAUAACAUUUUUAUCGUUUAAAAGAUGGUGAAAAUACUAUUUAACCUUAUUAACAAAAUGUAAAGAAAAACAACCAAAAUAAAAGUUAUAUGCAAUAUAGUAAAUCACACACAAAACAAUUUUGUUAUUUUUUUUUUCUCCCUUACAUCCAGGUAAUCCUCAUUUUUCCUCCCACUGCUCUCUCUCUCCUCUCCUUAACUUCUAACCAAAACAAAUCACUACUCUCUCUCUCUCUCUAUAUAUAUAUAUAUGUAUGUAUUUAUAUUUCUUUCACUCACUGAGUAUGUGGCCAUUGCUAAUGGCAUUUAUGUGUUUAUUUUGGACUAGAAUACCACUGUAUGUAUUUAUAUUUCUUUUACUCACUGAGUAUGUGGCCUUUGCUAAUGGCAUUUAUGUGUUUAUUUUGGACUAGAAUACCAACUUGCAUAAGGCUUAGAGUGUCUCUAAAUGAGAUGUCAAAAAUUCCACGUGGACCCAUUUGACAAAAAAAUUGAUGAUUUUCUAGUUCUAAAGGAGAUAUCAAAAUCCUACAUGGAUUGACAUUCUCCACUUUGCUGUCAAAUUUGAAGACAUGGUCAAUUUUUUGUUCACUUAUUAAUUAUUUUAUUAUUAAAUCUUGACCUACUUGAUUUUAUAAAUAACCAAAAUGCAUUUUAACUUAAGAUCUUAGUUAGAAUAAAAACUUUACAAAAUAUUAUUGGCGUAUUAUAUUAACACCCCACAAAUUGUUGAAUAAACCUCACAUACUUAAUACACCCCACAUUUGCUUUUUCACUUAAAAAUUAUCUUAAUACACACCACAUCCUUUUCCAUAAUACCCCCACACCCCACAUUCUCAAUAUACACCUUAUAGUUUGUACAUACACCCCACAUCUUUUAUUAGAGAAAAACAAAACCCUAGCAGCAAAGAAACUGAUGAACAGAUGCAAAAAUCAGGUGUUGCACCAGCUACUAAGCCUCUUGUUUCAAUUUCUUGGCAUGUACCGCGCAAGAUUAAUCGCGACAAGAACCAUGGAAAAACUAAUCCCAGGAUUUACUCAGAUUAUUCGAGACCAAGAACACGUCCUCCAUCCUAUAACUGAGCUUAAAUUCUUUAUGUAGUAACAUCUUUUUUCCUUCUUCAUAUAUAAAUAUGAAGAUAUCUUAUAACUUUCAUAAGAAUAUACAUAAAGAAAGCGCUUAAAGUAUCAUUGGAGUAUAUGAUCUAUAUAUCUCCAAGAACUACUUUGUAUUAUUGUGCAUCUAAAUAGUACUCGGAUCCAAUUGAACAUAUUAAUUUUUCCUUGUGAUCCCUCUUACCUCAUGUGAAGCUUCCGAAACAUCGAUUUCGUGUUCCAUUCGUCAAAAUCAAUUUUUCUCAAUUAACAUGUUUGUAGUUUCAUUGAUUAGGGUUUUGUUCAACAAUGGAGAGUGGGAGGGUUUUGAUAGUUGAUAAAAUAAAUAAUACGCUAAAAGUGAUUUGGGGUGUAUUUAGAGAUUUUUAUUUUAUUUUUUUAAAACCUAAUAAGGUCAAAAUUGUCAUUGCAUAAUGAGGUAAAUAAGUAAUUUAAUAUUAAAUUUUAAUGUGGGAUGCUAAUAAAAAAAGUCAUAUUAUUUUGCCACAUCAACUACAAAAAUAAAAUUUGACAGCUCUACUGAAAAUGAUCUUAGCUUUAUGCGCUUAGGAUUUAUUUUGUAACUUGAAUAAAAUUAUAAUACGAUAUGGCUAGUAUUUAAAAGAAAAGUUAAACAUAUACUUUCUUCUCGAAUCUGUUAAAAUCAAUAAUCAAGCACCCACUAAAAAUUUAAAACACAUGCAAAACAUUUUCAAUGAAAAAAGAAAAGAUUGGCAUCCGGCAUGCGGCAUGCGGACUUCGAUAUGGACAAGGAUUGUCUGCCUUUCAAUUUUUCGUGUUUUUUCGUGCAUUCCUGUUUUGUGUGGUCACGGUUAAACCACGUCAACAUUUUAUAUUGUUUUUUUAUAGAGAUAAUAAGACAAAAAUGAAUAGUAAUAUAAAAUGUUGACAUGACUUAAACGUGACCACACAAAUAGGAGGGCAUGGGAGGGCACGAGAAGUGAGAGGGCAGACAAUCAUUGUCCUUUCGAUAUAUGGGAUUGUACAAAAAUAAGUGAAACGGGUCAAUUAUUGGGUGAGUCAGGAGGAUUUUCGUCGGAUUCUCUUUGUGAGUAUCUUAGGGAUUCUUUAAUCAUAUUCGUUCAUCGUAUAUCAUGCGGUGAUAAAUUAUUGUAAAUUUUUUUAUUUAAAAUUAAACAUAAACAGUACUUGACAAAAAUUGACCUCACGAUGUAUGAUAAACAGAUGUGAUUGGAGAAUCUCCAGGAUUCUCUCUCUUGGGUGAGUAGAUCAAAGAAGAUGGAAUAUACGUCUAACCUCACACAAUAACAGGACCUUGCAUUAUAUCUCCACCCAUCCAAGUAGCUAGUCCCACUUUGUUUUUUCAUAAUGCCAUAUGCAGAAGAUCAGACAAAAUUGUUUUAUGUGAUCUUACGUUGCAUGUUGCUUAAUCGUUUGCCUUAUUAAAAAAGUUGAAACUUAUGACCUCAAUAUUCCAACAUAUUUUUUUCACACUAAAGUUAUAAAUUUUCAUGUUUAGUCACACACUAUAUUUGGUUCUCGUAAAUUUAUAAAUUAUGAAUUUUGUCCAAAUACAUUAAGAUUAAGUACAUACUUGCAUAAAAUGGACGAGGGAGUCAAAUUUUCAUAAAGAAAAUGCUAGAGAUAUCAUAUUUUGUAUAUCACGUGAUGUGAAGGUUAACUGUUGAAUUUUUUAAUGAUUUAAAGAAUGAAUGCAAGCAUCAACUGCCACAUCAUGUAAUCUACAAAAUAUGAUUCAAGAUGUCAACAAAUAGAUGUUUGUUUUAUAAAGUUUUAGAAGAUGGACCAACGAUCCAAUAAUAAUUACAUGGUACUACCCCAACUUAGAACAACUGUAUGAGGGUUUAACACAAAAUGUCUCAGUCCAAUUAGUAGUAGAAUCCAUCCAUUAAAGGCCUAAUUGGAAUGCUAGUCCAGUCCUCAUGGUGAUAAAUUAGUCGAAAGAUAGCACAUAUGGCAGAAAAAUUAGGAUUUAAACUCAAUUGUGAUUAUUGUUAAUUGUUUAUGGGGAUAGAGGUACUCACCUCAUAGCCGUUCAUAAAUCCAGCCACCUCUUUUAUACAUAUAUAUGUUUUUAAUUUGACGAACUUAUUUUAAUUUUUUUAUUAAGGCGGAAGUAGUCUUUUAUCACAAUGAUGGAAAUGUGUCGAACCUUUGUAUGACGGCGUGAGGUCAAAUCUCAUCAUUAGUUAAUCUAACAUCUAAUCUAAUAAAAUUUAAGGAAAACUAAUGAAAAGGGCUUGAAAACUUUGAGUUUUAAUGAUAAGGACAAAAUAAAAGGUAAAGUGAAUAGUACAGGAUUUGACUUUUUAGUGUAAAAAUAUGGUUUUUCGUUAAAGUGAAUAAUACUGGAUGCUUUUCGUUAAAGUUCCCUAAAAUUUAUCGUUUGACCAAAAAACAAGAUUUUAAAAGACUUGUAGCCACUUUAAUCAUUAAGCAUUCGUUAAACUUAAAACGAAGGUAAAUCGUUGGCGCCAAAGUAAAUAUUCAAACCCCAUUUCCCGCCAAGUAUUUAUUUAUUUUUUUGGAUUGUAGUCUUUAUAUAAUUCCACCAUGUCGAUGCUCACUCCUUCGCUGUAAGUCACGGAAACCGCUGCUUUUCUUCACUCUUCCGCCGCCGUUUCUCGAUCACUCCGGUUCGCUCUGAGAUAAAACCCGUAAGGUUCGAGUUCGAAAUUCCCACAUUUUAUGCCUUUUAAUUCAAUUUUUUGUUAGUUUCUUUUGUCUAGUUUGUAAUUUUUGUUUUGUAAUUAAUGUUUGUUCCUCGCUUGUAGACUUUGCAAUGGCGACGAAGAAUGACGAUGCCUCCUCCUCAGCAGACUCUCCGGAUCCGGUUCUUGAGGACGAGGUUUGCUUUCACUUCUGUGUUCUGUCUAAUCUAACGGCGUUUGUUUCUGCUUCGUUUCUCCGUCGCUCAGUUUUGGUUCGUAGGAUAGUAUCAAUGUGGAAGAAUUUGGGUGAACAUGUGAAAUUUCUGAGUUUUUGUUUCGCCGUUAGACAUUGAUAUUUUGAUGCGCACCGCGUGCUCGAUCUAUUGUUUCAGCGAAGAUGUGAUGUCAUAGAUUUGUGGUUUAUGUUGGAUUCGAUAAAUUGUCUGAAUUGUUUCAAUCUAAUAGCGGUGGUGUUUUACAUUUCGAACUUUCUAGCAGCACAGAGGAAUUGUUGACGAAAAGAGAGUUUGCGAUAUGAAAAGAAAAGCUUCCGUAAACUACUAUGAUGUAAGAGAUUUCGUGCUUCCCUUGCUUAAACUUUAUAUCUUAUUCAAUCGGGUUGGGUUUGUAGAUCGUAGUUAUACAUGGAUAUUCUUGUAUCAUUGUAAAGUUAGAUUAAAUUGGUAUCGUUGUGAUUAUUAUUAUGGAGGUUUUUAGUGGUCUGAUUGCUCUUAUCUCUUGUGCUAAGUGGCCUAUUGAGAAAAAGGGUUCCAAGGCGGUAAAGAAGAAACGAAGCACUUCCAACAAUGAAUGUGCAAAAUUUUCGCAACUAAUGGUUCUCCAAGGCGUAAUGCAGCUCGAGAUGACCAACAGGAGAUAUGAGGCUAACAGGUUAAGAGAUGAGAUUGACACGUUAAGAUUUGAGGUUGAAUUGUUGAGAGCUGAGGUUGACACGUUAAGAGAUGAGGCAACUCUAAGAGAAACGAGUACAAGACAAGCAACCGGUAAACUAUGUCCAUAGUUACAAACCAUGUGUACCCUAAUCCAAAAGUUUUUGAGGCAGGAAAAGAGGAACGUUAUGAUGAGAAGAACGCGUGAGAGGAAAGACGGAACUAGCAACAUGGAUUGUUUCAAUGAGCAGGUGAUCAUUGAUUAGGUUGUAUCAAUAGACCUGCCCUUUUAUUUUCAACCUACUUUUAAGUGCUAAUGGUUCUAAAUCAUUGUAAUGAACUGUGUAAGUUGUAGACUGUUAUGGUACUUUUCCGAUGUAGGGUUUUGGCCAUUCAUAUUCAUGUUUUGUAUUGAGCCACACAACCCCAAACGAUAUCAUCUGUAACCUAUGUACUCCGGUAUCAUAACAGAAAAUGUCACGAAGAAAAAAUCACGUUGUGUUGCAGCUGUUUUUUUUUGGUAUUAGUUGCAACCACUGCUGCAUUUACUGGUCAGCAAUCAUGUAGUGAGAAAGCUAAUUGCAGUCCUUGGGAGAUUAUCCAUCGUCAUCUACGUUCUAGCCUUGACAAUUUUCCGGCUGGGUUGGGUGCGGGACAUUUGUGGCUGUUCGAUUUUACUUACAAUCUCCAAGAUUCAGUCACGACUUGUAAUGCGCAAAUAUUAGAAACUGAUCGGAACAAUUGAUUGUUUAAAAGUCCAGUACAAGAAUAACACGCAACCUUUGCCGGAAAAUUAAUGGAAAAAUAUACAAACAUAUAUGAAAAGUAGAUUGAAGUGUGGAUGUAGUUAUCUUGGGUUGAGAAACUCCACGGCAAUAAUCGUAUUGCACAACAUAUCCUUAAGAUGGGACACAGAAAUUUUCAAAUCCCAUGUACUCUCGAUUCUCCAUCUUCUCAACCAUGUUUGCUAUGCCCACCCCGCCUGAAAUAUACAUCAAAACAAAGUUACGCGUUGUUGAGAGGAUGUGCUAUAGGGCAGUAUUAAUAAGUAUACGCGUGUUAUAAUUCGUUACCUAAGCUGAUUGCGCUGACAAAGAUUGUCAAAGCUAGAAUGAAGAUGAUGAUGGAUGCUCUGCCAAGGACUGCAAUGAUCUUUCUCACUACAUGCUGACCAGUAAAUGCAGCAAUUGUUGCAACCACCACGAAAUAAGCAGCUGCAGCACAGACACAGAGUAAACGUGAAACAAUUAGUUUUGUUUUCCGGGUUUAUCUGGAGUUAGAUUAUUGCUUGCUUACCAUAGGGGACUGGGAAACGGUUGAGAAGGUAGUACUGUACAACUGACAUGGAGGAUGAGAAUAGCAUUGCAAAGGUGGAUGUAGCACUUGCUACCUGCAAAUGAAAACGAUAUAAAAAUUCAUCUGUCUGGUUUCAUUUUUCUGCUUAUUUCAGUUGCAGCAGAUAAUUUCAGUUCGCGACAUUUUCUGUUAUGAUACCCGAUUAUGUAGGUUACAGAUGAAAUGCAGCUCAACACAAGCAGUGGAUGUGAAUGACCAAAAUCCCAUAUUGAAGAAGUAAGACAACAAUCUACGAGUUAUAAGUACGUGGUUCCCUACUUGCAUUGAACUAUACCUGAGGAGGAAUUCCCAAUUCAAGAAAAAGGGGUCCCAAGAUGAAACCGCCUCCCAAGCCAAGUAGUCCACCGACCAUACCAGCUACAAUUCCACAGCUGCAGUAGAGAAAAAUCUGAUGCAACUUCCAGUUUGUGAUUUCCUUUCCUUUUGAUGCAAUCACUCUGGUGCCUUUGCGUAAGCAUAUGGCUUCGAAGAGCGUUACAGAAAGUGCAAUUGGUACCUAUGUAUGCAAUGAUAAAACUAUUAUGUUUGUGCUAGCCGAUCAUUAUUGGGGAAAAUAUGAGUAUUAAAGUUCAUAUUUCAUGUUCUCGAGUUCUUAGGAGAAUUCUCAUACUUACUACUCAAGUUUUUAUCGUUACCUGCAAUGAGUUCAUGAUCCAGAACGUGGUGGAGCAAGUUUCGGUAUAUGUCUGCAUAAAGAUUCAGAAGGUUUCAUUCAGUAACAAAAGUAAAAAACCAUUGUGCUUUCGGAAUGAAGGCAGAGGAAUUAAAAAUAUGAAACUUGUAGCUGAAGAAAUCCAAGGUCUACUAGCUAUUGACUAGAUUGGUAGUAAAACUAACCUUAACAAUCUGGACAAUAAGAAAAGCCACCCAGACAUACAUGAGCAACGAUAACUCUUUCCAGUAAAUGUUUCGCGUUAUUGGUACCUGGAUAGAAUUGUUCAUAAAUUCAACACAACAGAAACUUACAAAACUUGAAAAAUUGCAGAUAACCAAGAAUCCAAGAGUACUGCGCAAGAGGUCUAAUGAUAUGAUUGGGAGUGGGGACUCACCUCCUCAUCUUGUGAUGAAGCUGGACCGCUAGGUAGCGGUUUGUAGUCUUCCCCAGAACCCUCUGCAACUAAGGAGGUUAGUUAGACCAUUGUUCUCAAACAUCUACAGACAUAUAGAUAUUGAAUAAGUGUUUACUAUUAUUAAUUUUCUUUUGAGUCCUCAUUUGGAUGUUUGGAUGAGACGAAUGAGCACUCACCAUCCUGUUUGGUCUCCGACUCUAACAUAUUUUCCGCUUCCUGAAAGUCAGUAAAACAUCAGAUUCCUCGUUAGUAGGUUGGAAAGAACACACUCAUUGAUAGCUCUAGAAUAGCUAAGUGGAAAGGGAAGUGAUUUUCGUACACCCUUUUUCUCCUUCUCCGCCUCUCUUUAUUUCUGUCCGUUGAUGACCUUUGAUUUAUUCAAUACACAAAGACCAAGAAAACUGGGAAGGUGCUAAAAGGGAGAAAAGGGUUAUGUGCGGAAAUCAUUUCCCGUGAAUACAUAUCUUACCUUCUUCAUCAUUGUUUCCUUCUUCCAUGUUUCCACGCCUUUCAUCAAAGCUUUUGCUGCUGUACCUGCCACAACUCGGAAGAAUAUCUAUUAAGACUUUUGGGAAUGCAUAGAUAUAUCGAAAAACUUUGGUCUGCUUUUCUUUUCGCAGAGUUCGUAUUCCAUUUGAUCAAAUAACUAUUCAAAAGAAAACAAAACUGAUAGAAAUUCGUGUUUGGAAUGUUACUACAGACCUAAGAAGAGGAUGAUAAGUAGAACUGUGACCAUCCAAUCAGCAAACACGACGUUGAAGGCAACUCCGAUGCUGAUCCCUAGCAUGAGCAUGGGCUGAAAGAGCAACGCCAGAUCAUAAUCUAUGAGGGGCAUGUCCAAUGUUGGGUGCCUAAGCCUCAAAUUAAAGUAUACUGUUGAUCCUGCAGCUCCCAUAAUCAUACCUGUAUCACCAAAAGAAUGCCAAACAGUUGAUUAAUUUCGAUCUAAAUUUAAUCCCAAACAGUAAAUUCCAGAUUAAAACUUUAGACUAACAAGUUAAAGGAAAGAUUGAGAGGUGAUUACUGACACUUGGAAAUCGCGGUGGAAGACUUGGGGUCGAAGCCAACAAUCAAGGCGAGCAUCGGAACAAAAAUUCCUCCACCACCAACACCGCCAACACUACCCAAUGCAGCACCAAAGAAUCCAACUACCGAACCUACUACAAUUUUCCAACCAAACUUCAUCUCCUGCUCAACCAAAAUAUACACAUACAUGUCAAAAAUUCAAAAAGUACCACAAUAGCUGAAAACCAUAUCUGUCUUGCUGUAUCUUUCGGUGUGUAAAGAGAGAUUGAACAACUCACAGGCCAAACAGGCUGAUAAGAAGAGCCUCCAGCCUGCCAUAGAAAAUUAAUGACUCUAGCAAAAAUUGCUUCUUGCUCAACAAAAAUUUUCGGCUUGAUGAUCUCAUCUUUCAGAGGCCUUUCUGCACUGGCAACUUCAGUGAAUACUGCCCAUGCUAUUGCUAAUGCUGCUGCUCCUGCUGACAUUUUUACUGCCCUCUGAGUGAACAUGUUUCGAGCCAUUCGGGUAUAAGAAAGAUGAAAAUUUGAUAACAAGGCAAGGAAGUUAUGAAUCUCAGAAGCUAUUUUCUGUAUGUAUAUUUCUCCGGUUGAAUUUAUUUUUUCAACUCCUCUUAAUUUCUUGUGUUUUUCAAGUGCAGUGUAGGGGUGGAGGAAAACAUGAAGAAUGCCUGCUCCCUACAUUUAUAACUCUUCUCUCUAUUUAUUUGCAUGUCGAAUUUACGCUCCCAUUUGGGACCCACAAAUCAUACAUACAUACAUAUAUGCAUGCAUACAAACAUACAUAAUAUAUAUAUAUAUAUAUAUAUAUGAGAAUUUGAUUUGAGUGUAUCAGCACACUGUCACAUGGUGUUACUAAUUCACGUGUUAUAAUAUAACUGGACUAAAAAUUUGACAUGAAAUAGUUAAAAGUAAGGUAUUAUUAAAUAAAUUCACAUGUUAUAAUAUGAGUUGAUUGAUAAUAUCGCGUACUAUUGUUUUUGGAUUCUCAAUCAUUCCAACUUGAAAUUGAUGAAAGUGAAAGCAGAGUGGAGAAAACACCAAAUGCACUCUCUAAACUUUGGUAAAAAACUUUCACAUUUUUGUGUCUUUAAUUAUUUUAUCAAGGAUUCAAGAAAAUAAUAAAAUGACAAUAAUCCCUUCAUUUCCUUUCGUAAGUGAGAAUGACUAGUUCUCGGUAAAUUUAGUGAACAGGUCCCAAAUUCUAAAUCCCGUGUUUUCUUGUCCACAAUCCAUCAUCUUUCUGAUUUGAAGCUUCGUUGAAGUUAAGUAACAUGAUAUGAUAAUGACAAGUGGGUUCAUCCCUCGUUUAUGGGACUACAAUGAUCGACCAACUGACGUGACACGUUACAAGAAUUCUUUAUUUUACUAACCAUAAAUAAAUGAGGUUCCGGUUAUGUUCUCCCAUAUAUUGGUUUGAAUUUAAAAAAGUUGGGACUAAUAAGAAAUGUAAAUAAAUGACAUCACAAAUAAAAGCAUAAUCAUUGUUACUUGUUUUCUAAUCAAGUUGCUCUGUCGAAAUUUUUGUUAUUUUUACCGCAAAACAAGAAUAUCGGGUUCCGAGAAAUUUCCGAGAAGCGGCUUCCGAGUAAUUUCCGAGAAGCGGUUUCUUUGAAGCAGCUGCGGCUGCACGAACAAGCGUUAGGCGAGGCGGUGGUGCUCUAGCGUCUAGUCUGUCUAUAUGAAGCUUCAUCGCUGCUUCAUGGCUUUUGGCUGCUUCUUUGCUCUUUAUAAUCACCCCACUACCACUUCCAAACAAAGUAAAUAACGUUUAACCCUACCUUCCAAAUGAGAACGAAAACUAAUCACGCGAUGGAUUAAAAUGCAUAUUAGUGUGUGAGUAGUUUGGAAGCCAACCUGAAGGAGAGGGACUUAUAUGGCACGAGCACUAUCCACUAAUCACAAUCUCAUGAAAAAAAAUAUAAAAACACAUGACAAUACGUAAUUAACUCACAAUGCCACAAUCCCCGUUUCUUCACGAAAACAAAAAGUAACAGUAACAGGGAAAACAUAUUUAAUCGAUGCAACUAUUGUGGGUGGGCAACGAGAAAUUUUGCCUAAAAGAAAACCAAUUCGGCAUACAGUUUGGACCUCAUACCAUUCCAGCCCAAAAUUAACAGGAUUUUCAAGAGAAAUAAAAUGUCACAGGAAACAAUUAAUUCUCACAAAUUUGAUAAGAGGUGAAAAAUCUCUACCUAUUUCCACCAGCACAAACGUUCAAACAUUAAAACCACCCAACAACACACACAAUAUUUCCAAAACUUAAAGACAUCUUCAUCGCAAAACAUUUAAACACGGUCUCUAAAUUAGACGAAAGAACGAGAAAAAUAAUAUAGCAAUAAGAUCCACACCACAGAAAGUAGCUGCUGCAUAAGACGCAAUCUCGAGCACUGAUCAAACCAAGUAGAGUGAAUAUCUCACCAGUGAGGUCCGGAGGCUUGAGAGGUUUCGAAUUUCAGUCUUAAUACUCAUUGUAGUCUCGAGAUAGUGAUCUAGAUGACCUCUGAUAAUCUCGCUCGACAUCUCCACCCCUCUCCCUUUCACGGGGAUCAGCUGGUGCUUGUUCAUAAUGGUAAUCAUCCUCUUCCAUUCGAUCAUAGCGAUCAUGAGCAUUGUCCGGAUACUGUUUGUAGCGAUCAUCAUCAUGCUGGACUUCCAAUUGAUCAUACUGGCUACGAUGAUGCUCAUAGGGCUCAGCAUCAUCAUCUGGCUCUGAGUGCCUAUGGCCAUGCCCAGGUUGUUCAAACCAACCCUGGUCGUCUUCUUGGGCAGUGUGGUCAUAACCCCGCUCCCGAUCCCCAUGUCGGACCCUCUCAUGUUUUGAUUCAAUACGGUCAUGGGAACGGCCACGAUCAUGCUCAGGCUCCCCAACUUCAUAAUCCCUCUCCCUGUCUCUAGAGCGAUGAUCACGAUCACGCUCCCGAUCACGGUCUCUAUCUCGAUCACGACCAUGCUCAUAGUCACGACCACGAUCCCGUCCUCGUUCACGAGUACGAUCCCGAUCACGACCACCACGAUCUCUUUCCCUAUCCCUGUCCUUGUCCCUGUUUCUAUCACGAUCUCUGUGGUGCCUAUCUUCCCUGUGAUCACGGUCUCUAGACUUGUCAUGGGAGCGUUCACGAGAGCGCUCGCGGGACUUCUCCCGUUCUCUUUCCUUUUCUUUCUCUUUUCCUCUUUCACGGGAUUUUUCUCUAUCCCUGAAAAUCAUUUCACUCAACAUCAAUCAUAUAGAAAGCAAAAUCUGAAAUUGCAUCAAUCUAUGAAAACUUAGGCAACACUUACAAAGCAUAACAUAUGACAGAACAAAAACUUCAAGACUAUUGUUGCAAAACUUAUGCCUCUCACGAUUACCUAUCAUUAUAGUAUACAAGUAAAAAGCAAUCCAUAACCAUUAUGCAGCACCGCAAUUUCUUCUUUUUGUUUUUUAUAAUUAGAAUCAAGUUGUAUUAUUUUUUAAAAUUUUGUGUUGAGUUUCACUACGCCUAAAACCUUUAGACAGUGUGCACAACAAUUUGGAAAAUCUUACAAGUCUACAUGUCGCUCCUCGCGUGCCCUUGGCUCCUCAGACCGGGGUUGUCCUCCAGAUUGUACUUGCUCCCUAAGCAAAUAAUGAUGAAUGUUAUAGUUAGCAAAGACGCCUAGAAAAUUAUAUGAGAAAACAAACUUAAACAACUGAACACAUAGAACUUGGAAGUCAACAAAGAAACAGUAAAACAGUUUAAUAUUAUGCUGAAUUACAUAAUAGGAAGACAAAGAAACUGCUCCUGAGAUACACUUAAAAGAUAAAUUCUUGUAACAAAGUAAGUGUAGAAGCACGUCAGUUUUCCAAUGACAGAAGUGUGGAAAUGUUGGAAUCGAACUAAAUACCUUCCAGAAUAUCUCUGAUUGACAUCUUCACCUCCAACUCUGGUAGUUCCAAGCCCAC
This 58089-nucleotide long non-coding RNA is filed under the name Malus domestica (apple). Its description in RNAcentral is "long non-coding RNA (MDOM_LNC001558)". The stretch from base 38913 to 38984 matches the Rfam family "tRNA". The record is from RNAcentral. Lineage: Eukaryota; Viridiplantae; Streptophyta; Magnoliopsida; Rosales; Rosaceae.